Molecule: long non-coding RNA, 51808 nt
Filed under: Triticum aestivum (bread wheat)
Lineage: Eukaryota; Viridiplantae; Streptophyta; Magnoliopsida; Poales; Poaceae
Description: long non-coding RNA (TAES_LNC005572)
Source: RNAcentral
GCAACACAACGUAAACAGCCCCUGCACACUGAUAACAAAUCCCCCCAACCCGACAUGUUAAACGGGGUUGUCAAUCCCUUUCGGGUAACGGUGCCAGAAAUUGGUGUGUGGUGGUAAAAAGGUUGUAAUAGAUUGGAUAAAUAAAUCGCAAAUAAAAUAAAGUGCAGCAAAGUAUUUUUGGGUUUUUGGAUUAAUAGAUCUGAAAAUAAAUGCAAAUAAAAGUAGAUCGCAAAGGCAAAUAAUAUGAGAAGAAAGACCCAGGGGCCAUAGGUUUCACUAGUGGAUUCUCUCGAGAAAGAUAACAAAUGGUGGGUGAACAAAUUAUAGUGGGGCAAUUGAUAGAACUUGAGAUAAUUAUGACGAUAUCUAGGGAAUGAUCAUUAUAUAGGCAUCACGUCCAAGAUUAGUAGACCAACUCCCGCCUGCAUCUACUACUAUUACUCCACACAUCGAUCGCUAUCCAGCAUGCAUCUAGUGUAUUAAGUUCAUGGAGAAGCGGAGUAAUGCAAUAAGAACAAUGACAUGAUGUAGACAAGAUCUAUCUAUGUAGAUAUAGACCCCAUAGUUUUAUCCUUAGUAGCAACGAUACAUACGUGUCGUUUCCCUUUCUAGCACUGGGAUCAAGCACCGUAAGAUCGAACCCACUACAAAGCACCUCUUCCCAUUGCAAGAUAAAUAGAUCAAGUUGGCCAAACAAAACCAAAAUAUCAGAGAAUAAAUAGGAGGCUACAAGAGAUCAUGCAUAUAAGAGAUCAAAGAAACUCAAAUAACUUUCAUGGAUAUAAAAAGAUAGAUUUGGUCAUAAACUCAAAAUUCAUCGAUCCCAACAAAUACACCGCAAAAGAGUUACAUCAUAGGGAUCUCCAAGAGACAAUUGUAUUGAGAAUCAAGAGAGAGAGGGAUGAAGCCAUCUAGCUACUAACUACGCACCCAAAGGUCUACAAAGAACUACUCACGCAUCAUCGGAGAUGCACCAAUGAAGGUGGUGAACCCCAUCCGAGAUGGUGUCUAGAUUAGAUCUGGUGGUUCCAGACUCUGCGGUGGCUAGAUGAAUAUUUCGUCGAUGCCUUUAGGGUUUCUGGAAUAUUGGGGUAUUUAUAGAGCAAAGAGGCGGUCUGGGGGUUACCCGAGGUGGGCACAACUCACCAGAGCGCGCUUGGGCCUCCUGGCGCGCCCUGGUGGGUUGUGCCCCCCUCGGGGCACCCCCUAGGCGCAACCAGGGCCCGUUGUGUUCCUUCUGGCCCAUAAAAAUUCUCCGUAAAGUUUAGGGGCGUUUGGACUCCGUCUGAUAUUGAUUUUCUGCGAUGUAAAAAACAUGGAAAAAACAGCAACUCGCACUUGGCACUAUAUCAAUAGGUUAGUACCAAAAAAUUAUAUAAAAUGACUAUAAAAUGAUUAUAAAACAUCCAUGAUUGAUAAUAUAAUGGCAUGGAACAAUAAAAAAUUAUAGAAACGUUGGAGACGUAUCAAGCAUAUGAGAUGUUCCAAGAGCUGAAAUUGGUAUUUUAGACUCAUGCCCGUGUGGAGAGGUAUGAGACCUCUGACAAGUACUUUUCCUACAUGAUGGAGGACAAUAUCUCAGUCAGUGAGCAUGUACUCAGAAUGUCUGAAUACUACAAUCGCUUGAAUCAAGUGGGAGUUAAUCCUCCAGAUAAGAUAGUGAUUGAUAGAGUUCUCUAGUCACCAUCACUGAGCUACUAGAACUUCGUGAUGAACUAUAAUAUCCAAGGGAUGACAGAAAAGAUUCCCGAGCUCUUCAUGAUGCUGAAAUUGACAAAGGUAGAAAUCAAGAAAGAGCAUCAAGUGUUGAUGGUUAACAAGAUCACUAGUUUCAAGAAAAAGGGCAAAGGAACAGAAAAGGGAACUUCAAGAAGAAUGACAAGCAAGUUGCCACUCCCAUGGAGAAGCCCAUAGCUAGACCUAAAGCCUAAAACUGAGUGAUUCUACUGCAAAGGGAAUGGUCACUGGAAGCGGAACUACCCCAAAUACUUGGCGGAUAAUAAGGAUGGCAGGGUGAACAAAGGUAUAUUUGAUAUACAUGUUAUUGAUGUGUACUUUACUAGUGUUCAUAGUAACCUCGGGGUAUUUGAUACCGGUUCAGUUGCUAAGAUUAGUAACUCGAAACAGGAGUUGUAGAAUGAACAGAGACUAGUUAAGGGCGAGUUGACAAUGUGUGUUGGAAGUUCCAAGGUUGAUAAGAUCACCGCCGCACACUCCCUCUACCUUCGGGAUUAGUGUUGAACCUAAAUAAAUGUUAUUUGGUGUUUGCGUUGAGCAUGAAUAUGAUUGGAUCCUGUUUAUUGUGAUACGGUUAUUCAUUUAAGUCAGAGAAUAAUUGUUGUUCUGUUUACAUGAAUAAAACCUUCUAUGGUCAUACACCCAAUGUAAAUGGUUUAUUGAAUCUCGAUCGUAGUGAUACACAUAUUCAUAAUAUUGAUGCCAAAAGAUGCAAAGUUGAUAAUGAUAGUGCAACAUAUUUGUAGCACUGCCGUUUAGGUCAUAUUGGUGUAAAACGCAUGAAGAAACUCCAUGCAGAUGGGCUUUUGGAAUCACUUGAUUAUGAAUCAUUUGAUACUUGUGAACAAUGCCUCAUGGGCAAGAUGACUAAAACUCCAUUAUCCGUAACAAUGGAGUGAGCUAAUAACUUAUUGGAAAUAAUACAUACCGAUGUAUGUGGUCCGAUGAGUGUUGAGGCUCAUGGCGGGUAUCGUUAUUUUCUGACCUUCACAGAUGAUUUGAGCACAUAUGGGUAUAUCUACUUGAUGAAACACAAGUGUGAAAGAUUUGAAAGGUUCAAAGAAUUUCAGAUUGAUGUUGAUAAUCAUCAUAACAAGAAAAUGUUUUCUAUGAUCUGAUCGCGGAGGCGAAUAUUUGAGUUACGAGUUUGGCCUUCAUUUAAAACAAUGUGGAAUUGUUUCACAACUCACACCACCUGGAACACUGAUGUCGCUUGAAGCUACGUCUGUAUUUCCCAAAAGAGGAAGGGAUGAUGCAGCACAGCGGCGGCAUGUAUUUCCCUCUGAUAUGAAACCAAGGUUAUUAAACCAGUAGGAGAACCAAGAAACACAAUGCAAACAGCCCCUGCACACAAAUAACAAAUCCUCGCAACCCGACGUGUUAAAAGGGUUGUCAAUCCCUUUCGGGUAACAGUGCCAGAAAUUGGUGCGUGAUGGGAAAAAGGUUGUAAAUAUUGGUAGACCGAACGCCAAAUAAAAUAAAUUGCAGCAAGGUAUUUUUUGGGUUUUUGGAUUAAUAGAUCUGAAAAUAAAAGCAAAUAAAACCAGAUCGCAAAGGCAAAUAUAUGAGAAAGAAGACCCGGGGGCCGUAGGUUUCACUAGUGGCUUCUCUCGAGAAAAAUAGCAAACGGUGGGUAAACAAAUUGCUGUUGGGCAAUUAAUAGAACUUCAAAUACUCAUGACGAUAUCCAGGCAAUGAUCAUUAUAUAGGCAUCACGUCCAAGAUUAGUAGACCGACUCCUGCCUACAUCUACUACUAUUACUCCACACAUCGACCACUAUCCAACAUGCAUCUAGUGUAUUCAGUUCAUGGAGAAACGAAGUACUGCAAUAAGAACGAUGACAUGAUGUAGACAAGAUCUAUAUAUGUAGAGAUAUAUCCCAUCAUUUUAUCCUUAGUACAAACGAUACAUACGUGUCGUUUCCCAUUCUGUCACUGGGAUCAAGCACCGUAAGAUCGAACCCACUACAAAGCACCUCUUCCCUUUGCAAGAUAAAUAGAUCAAGUUGGCCAAACAAAACCCAAAUAUCAGAGAAUAAAUAUGAGGCUAUAAGCAAUCAUGCAUAAAAGAGAUCAUAGAAAAUCAAAUAACUUUCAUGGAUAUAAAAAGAUAGAUCUGAUCAUAAACUCUAAGUUCAUCGGAUCCCAACAAACACACCGCAAAAGAGUUACGUCAUAUGGAUCUCCAAGAGACCAUUGUAUUGAGGAUUAAGAGAGAUAGAUAGAUAAAACCAUCUUGCUACUAACUACGGACCCGAAGGUCUACAAAGAACUACUCACGCAUCAUCGGAGAGGCACCAAUGGAGAUGGUGAACCCCAUCCGAGAUGGUGUCUAGAUUGGAUCUGGUGGUUCUGGACUCUGCGGUGGCUGGAUGAAUAUUUCGUCGAAGGGUUCUAGGAUUUUUGGGGUAUUUAUAGAGCAAAGAGGCGGUCUAGGGGGCACCCGAGGUGGCACAACCCACCAGGGCGCGCCUGGGCCUCCUGGCGCGCCCUGGUGGGUUGUGCCCCCCUUGGGGCACCCCCUAGGCGCAGCCAUGGCCCGUUGUGUUCCUUUUGGCCCAUAAAAAUUCUUCGUAAAGUUUCAUGAUAUUUGGACUCCGUCUGAUAUUGAUUUUCUCAAUGUAAAUAACACGGAAAAAACAGGAACUGGCACUUGGCACUAUGUCAAUAGGUUAGUAGUAAAAAAUAAUAUAAAAUGACUAUAAAAUGAUUAUAAAACAUCCAAGAUUGAUAAUAUAGCAACAUGAAACAAUCAAAAAUUAUAGAUACGUUGGAGACGUAUCAGCAACCCCAAGCUUAACUCCUACUCGUCAUCGAGUAGGUAAGUGAUAAAAACUAAAUUUUUGAUGUGGAAUGUUGCCUAUCAUGUCAUAUCAUAUUCUUUUCUUUAUAUCAUGGAUAUUUGGACAUUUAGUUGUUCAAAGCAAUAGUCUAGCUUUGACAUGAUAAUUUAGAUACUCAAGCAUAUCAACAAGCAACCAUGUCUUCCAAAAUAUCAACGCUAAAAUAAGUUAUCCCUAGCCCAUCAUCCUCAAACAUUGAUCCAUUCAUGAAACACACUCGAAUAUUAGCUACACCCAAUACUUAAGUACGAUCAUAUUGCCUCCUAGUUGGUGCUUUUAUAAGAGAAGAUGGAGACUCAAAAUAAAAAUUGCAUAAAGUAAAAGAAAGGUCCUUCGCAAAGGGAAGUAGGGAUUUGUAGAGGUGCCAGAGCUCAAAGCAAAAAACUUAGAGAUAAAAAUAUUUUGAAAGGUGUAUCCAUCCCACCAAUGAAAACGACUUAGAGUUCACAAUACUUUCAAUGCAUAGAUAAAUCAUAGGCGGUUCCCAAACAGAAAAUAAAGUUUAUUCCUUUUUCCACCAUACUUUCACUUUCCAUGGCUAAUCGUAUCCAUAGGUGCCCUCGAUACCAACACUUUCCAAGGAAUUUAUUAUUUGACGACAUAGAGUAAAUUCAAUUUUUUUUUGCAUUUCGGGACUGGGCAUCCCUAAUACCUUUGCCUUACUCUCGUGCAAUGAAAAGUGAAUAAACUCUCAUCGUGAGAAUAACACAUCUAACAUGGAAAACAUUAGCCACCCCUCAUCGCUCCGCGAGCGAAACAAACACACAAAAGAGAAGUUUGUUUUGAAAAUUAGAGAUGGCACAUGAAAAUUUCCAUAGAAUGGCAAAAGAAUACCGCAUAUAGGUAGAUAUAGUGGACUCAUGUGGCAAAACUAGGUUAAAGGUUUUUGAAUGCACAAGUAAUGAUCAUACUUAGUGCAAAAUGAAGGCUAGCAAAAGGAUUGGGAAGCGACCAACUAAGAAACAAAUAAUUGCAUAAGCAAGCAUUAAGCAUAAAUAACACUGAAUAAUGCACCAUAAGUAGGAUAUAAUUUCAUUGCAUGACUAUUGACUUUCGUACUUGCAUAGGGAAUCACAAACCUUAACACCAAUAUUCUUACUAAAGCAUAAUUACUCACCAGCAUAACUCACAGAUCACAUCAUCAUAUCUCAAAAGUAUUACUAAGAAUCAAGUUUAUUUUGUCCAAUGAUCUUCAUGAAAGUUUUUAUUAUAUCCUUCUUUGAUAUCUAUCACUUUGGGACUAAUUUUCAUGUGUUGCUUUUGACAAGCUCCAACAAAUAUAAGUGAAGAUCAUGAGCAUAAUAUAUUUUUUCUUUCUCUCAAAUUAAUUUAAGUGAAGCAAGAGAGAAUUUCUUGAAAAUUUUACUAACUGUCAAAUAAAUCUAAGUGAAGCAAGAGAGCAUUUCUUCAAAAAUACUAAAGCACACCGUGCUCAAAAAGUUAUAAGUGAAGCACUAGAGCAAGUCCAUUGCUCAUACAAAUUUAAGUGAAGCAUAGAGAGCAAUUCUAACAAGUCAUGACAUUAUUUUGGCUCUCUCAAAUAGGUGUGUCCAGCAAGGAUUGAUGACUUAAAACACAAAAUAAAACAAGUAAAGAUUCAUAUCAUACAAGACGCUCCAAGCAAAACACAUAUCAUGUGACGAAUAAAAAUAUAGUUUUGAGUAAAAUACCUAUGAUCGUUGGAAGAAAGCGGGGAUGCCACUCGGGGGCAUCCCCAAGCUUAGUUGGUUUCUCAUUUUUGUAUAAUAUCUUGGGAUGCCGGGGAGUCCCCAAGCUUAGGCUCUUCCAUCCUUCCUUCAUCCAUCGUAAGAUAACCCAAAACUUGAAAACUUUAAUCACACAAAACUCAACAAAACCUUCGUGAGAUCCGUUAUUAUAAGAAUAAUAAAUCACUACUAUAAGUACUGUAUCAAACCAUUUCAUAUUUUGUUUUUGUAUUAUAUCUAUUGUCUUCCAACUUUUCCCUGGCAAAAACUCAUCAAAGAAAACCAUAGAGCCAUCAAAAUUAGCACACAACACAAAGAAAACAGAAUCUGUUAAAAUAGAAAAGUCUGUAGCACUCUGACUAUUUAGAAUACUUCCAUAACUCCAAAAAUUCUGAAAAAUUAGGACGACCUGAGCAAUUUGUAUGUUGAUCUAUUGCAAGUGGAAUGGGUAUUUUAUCCUCUAGGGUAAAAAAUCAAAAUUAAUUUCAUGACCGUAAAAGUUUCUGUUUUUUCAGCAAGAUCAAACAACUAUCACCCAAGAAGAUCCUAAAGGCUUUACUUGGCAGAAACACUAAUUAAAACAUAAAAAACACAAUCAUAACAUUAGAAUAAUUGUGUUAACACACAAAAAUAGGAAGCAAAAAUCAUAAAUAAAUGUUAUUCAUUGGGUUGCCUCCCAACAAGCGCUAUAGUUUUACGCCCUUAGCUAGGCAUAAAGCAAGGAUCUAAGUUCUGUCAUCCUUGUUCUUAACUUUCUUAGAUGUACUUCCAUCAUGGGGUUUUGUAAACACAACAUAAAACAUGUUAUCCAUAGAGGCCUUAGCAAUCCAAGUUGGUUUUCAUCAUACCCCUUUUGAUUUCUCGCAACAAUCCAAGAGUAAUGUUGAUUAAAAUUAUUGAAAACUUGUUGGAUUAUAUCUAGAACUAGGACUUACUUUUUUAAGAUUCUCAUCAAAGAUUUUAUUGCACCCAAGCAAAUGUCUUAAAGCAUAGUCACUAUUGUAAAGAAUUUCAUCUAUCACAGGUUUUACACGAUUCAUACCAGAAAAGUCAAAUAUUUCCCUAGCUUCUCGAAUUAUGUAAGCAAACUCAUUCAUGAGAACAAGAGUAGCCAACUUUUUAGCUCUAGGAUUCUUUAUAACGAGGAGCUCAAAAAACAAUCUUUGCAAACUAGGAUGGGUACGAAUAAAUUUACUUUCAAGUUGCAGAACUAGUGCUAAAAUAGCAUCCGCAUAAGAUCUAGUAGUUUUAAGUAUAGGGGCAUCAUCAAGACUUAGCUUCUGAACACAAUUGAAAAAUUCUUGGAUACUUUCUUUUCCCAUGACGUUCCCUUGCCCCAAGAUAAAAGUUUUAGCAUUCAGAUUGCACGUACGUCCAAUUUUAGGAGUUAGGCCAUCAUCUGUUGGUGCCAUACCAAAAUCACUCAUGAUUGCAAACAAAUGAUAGAUCUGACAAGAAAUCGGCGAACAAAAAAGAGAGGCGAAUUAAAUGGCAAAUUUUUGUGAAGUGGGGGAGAGGAAAACGCGAGGAAAAUAGCAAAUAAUGUAAAUUCCAAGGAGAUGAGAUUUGUGAUUAGGAACCUGGUAUAUGUUGAAGAUCCUCCCCGGCAACAGCGCCGGAAAUUCCUUUUGAUGUCGCUUGAAGCUACGUCGGUAUUUCCCCAAAGAGGAAGGGAUGAUGCACCACAUCAGCGGUAGGUAUUUCCCUCAAAUAUGAAACCAAGGUUAUCGAACCAUUAGGAGAACCAAUCAACACAAUGUAAACAUCCCCUGCACACAGAUAACAAAUCCUUGCAACCCGACGUGUUAAAGGGGUUGUCAAUCCCUUUCGGGGUAACGGUGCCAGAAAUUGGUGUGUGACGGGAAAAAGGUUGUAAAUAUUGAUAGAUGGAACGCCAAAUAAAAUAAAUUGCAGCAAGGUAUUUUUGGGUUUUUGGAUUAAUAGAUCUGAAAAUAAAAGAAAAUAAAAAUAGAUCGUAAAGGCAAAUAUAUGAGAAAGAAGACCCGGGGGUCGUAGGUUUCACUAGUGGCUUCUCUCGAGAAAAAUAGCAACGGUGGGUAAACAAAUUAAUGUUGGACAAUUGAUAAAACUUCAAAUACUCAUGAUGAUUUCCAGGCAAUGAUUAUAUAGGCAUGACAUCCAAAAUUAGUAGACCGACUCCUGCCUGCAUCUACUACUAUUACUCCACACAUCCCGCUAUCCAACAUGCAUCUAGUGUAUUAAGUUCAUGGAGAAACGGAGUAAUGCAAUAAGAACGAUGACAUGAUGUUGAUAAGAUCUAUCUAUGUAGAGAUAGACCCCAUCAUUUUAUCCUUAGUAGCAAUGAUACAAACGUGUUUUUUCCCUUACUGUCACUAGGCUCAAGCAUUGUAAGAUCGAACCCACUACAAAGCACCUGUUCCCAUUGCAAGAUAAAUAGAUCAAGUUGGCCAGACAAAACCCAAAUAUCGGAUAAGAAAUACGAGGGUAUAAGCAAUCAUGCAUAAAAGAGAUCAAAUAAACUCAAAUAACUUUCAUGGAUAUAAAAAGAUAGAUCUGAUCAUAAACUCAAAGUUCAUCAGAUCCCAACAAACUCACAGCAAAAGAGUUACAUCAUAUGGAUAUAAAAGAGACCAUUGUAUUGAGGAUAAAGAGAGAGAGAGAGAUGAAGCCAUCUAGCUACUUACUACGGACCCGAAGGUCUACAAAGAACUACUCAAGCAUCAUCAGAGAGGCACUAAUGGAGGUGGUGAACCCCAUCCGAGAUGGUGUCUAGAUUGGAUCUGGUGGUUCUGGACUCUGCGGCGGCUGGAUGAAUAUUUCGUCGACUCCCCUAGGGUUCUGGGAUUUUUGGGGUAUUUAUAGAGCAAAGAGGCGGUCCGGGGGGCACCCGAGGUGGGCACAACCCACUAGGGCGCGCCUGGGCCUCCUGGCGCGCCCUGGUGGGUUGUGCCCCCCUCGGGGCACCCCCAGGCGCAGCCAGGGCCCGUUCUAUUCCUUUUGGCCCAUAAAAAUUCUCCGUAAAGUUUCAUGGCAUUUGGACUCCAUCUGAUAUUGAUUUUUUGCGAUGUAAAAAACACGGAAAAAACAGGAACUGGCACUCGGCACUAUGUCAAUAGGUUAGUACCAAAAAAUGAUAUAAAAUGAUUAUAAAACAUACAAGAUUGAUAAUAUAAUAGCAUGGAACAAUAAAAAAUUAUAGAUACAUUGGAGACAUAUCAAACACCACAGCAUAAUGGUGUGUCUGAAUGUCGUGACCACACUUUAUUGGAUAUGGUGCGUUCUAUGAUGUCUCUUACCGAUUUACCAUUAUCGUUUUUGGGUUAUGCAUUAGAGACAGCCACAUUCACGUUAAAUAGGGCACCGUCUAAAUCCGUUGAGAUGAGACCGUAUGAACUAUGGUUUGGCAAGAAACCUAAGUUGUCUUUUCUUAAAAGUUUGGGGAUGCGAUGCUUAUGUCAAAAGGUUUAAGCGUGAUAAGCGAACCCAAAGUGGAGAAAUGUGUAUUAAUAGGAUACCCUAAGGAAACCAUUGGGUACACCUUCUACCACAAAUCCGAAGGCAAGAUCUUUGUUGCUAAGAAUGGAUCCUUUCUAGAGAAGGUGUUUCUCUUGAAAGAAGUGAGAGGGAGGAAAGUAGAACUUGAUGAGGUAAUUGUACCUUCUGUCGAAUUGGAAAGUAGCACAUCAGAUAAAACUGUUCCCAUGAUGCCUACACCAACUAGAGAGAAAGCUAAUGAUGAUGAUCAUGAAACUUCAGAUCAAGUUACUACUGGACCUUGUAGGUCGAACAGAGCACGUUCCGCACUAGAGUGGUACAGUAAUCCUAUCUUAGAAGUCAUGUUACUAGACCAUGGCGAACCUACGAAAUAUGAAGAAGCUAUGAUGAGUCCAGAUUCCGACAGAUGGCUUGAGGCCAUGAAAUCUGAGAUAGGAUCCAUGUAUGAGAACAAAGUGUGGACUUUGGUGUACUUGCCCGAUGAUUGGCAAGCCAUUGAGAAUAAAUAGAUUUUCAAGAGGAAGAUGGACGCUGAUGGUAAUAUCACUAUAUACAAAGCUCGACUUGUCACAAAAAGUGUUUUCGAUAAGUUCAAGGAGUUGACUACAAUGAGACUUUCUCACUCGUAGCGAUGCUCAAGUCUGUCUGAAUCAUGUUAGCAAUUGCCACAUUUUAUGAUUAUGAAAUCUGGCAAAUGGGUGUCAAAACUGCAUUCCUUAAUGGAUUUCUUAAAGAACAGUUUUAUAUGAUGCAUCCAGAAGGUUUUGUCGAUCCUAAAGGUGCUAACAAAGUGUGCAAGCUCCAGCGGUCCAUCUAUGGACUGGUGCAAGCAUCUUGGAGUUGGAAUAUAUGCUUUGAUGAGGUGAUCAAAACAUAUGGUUUUAUACAUAAUUAUGCUGAAGCAUGUAUUUACAAGAAAGUGAGUGGGAGAUCUAUAGCAUUUCUGAUAUUAUAUGUGGAUGACAUAUUGCUGAUUGGGAAUGAUACAAAAUUUCUGGAUAGCAUAAAAGGAUAUUUGAAAAAUUAUUUUUCAAUGAAAGACCUCGGUGAAGCUACUUAUAUAUUGGGCAUCAAGAUCUAUAGGGAUAUAUCAAGAUGCUUGAUAGGACUUUCACAACAUACCUUGAUAAAGUUUUGAAGAAGUUCAAAAUGGAUCAGUCAAAGAAAGGGUUCUUGCCUGUGUUACAAGGUGUGAAGUUGAGUUAGACUCAAUACCCGACCACGACAAAAUAUAUAGAGAAUGAAAGUCAUUCCCUAUGCCUCAGUCAUAGGUUCUAUAAAGUAUGCCAUGCUAUGUACCAGACCUAUUGUGUGCCUUGCCAUGGUAUUGGCAAGGAGGUACAUGAGUGAUCCAUGAGUGAAUCACUGGAUAGCGGUCAAAAUUAUCCUUAUAGGAAUAAGGAAAUGUUUCUCUGUUAUGGAGGUGAUAAAGAGUUCGUCAUAAAGGGUUACAUCGAUGCAAGCUUUGACACUAAUCCAGAUGACUCUGAGUCUCUAUCUGGAUACAUAUUGAAAGUGGGAGCAAUUAGCUAGAGUAGCCCCAUGCAGAGCAUUGUAGACAUAUAAAUUUGCAAAUUAAAUAUUGAUCUGAAUAUGACAGACCCGUUGGCUAAACCUCUCUCACAAGCAAAACAUGAUCACACCUUAGUACUCUUUGGGUAUUAAUCACAUGUCGAUGUGAACUAGAUUAUUGACUCUAGUAAACUCUUUGGGUGUUGGUCACAUGGCGAUGUGAACUAUGGGUGUUAAAUCACAUGGUGAUGUGAACUAGAUUAUUGGCUCUAGUGCAAGUGGGAGACUAAAGGAAAUAUGCCCUAGAGGCAAUAAUAAUGUUGUUAUUUCAUAUUUCCCUAUUCAUGAUAUAGGUUUAUUAUUCAUGCUAGAAUUGUAUUGAUUGGAAACCUUAAUACAUGUGUGAAUACAUAGACAAACAUCGUGUCCCUAGUGAGCCUCUACUAGACUAGCUCGUUGAUCAAAGAUGGUUGAGGUUUCCUAACCAUGGACAUGAGUUGUCUUUGAUAACGGGAUCACAUCAUUAGGAGAAUGAUGUGAUGGACAUGACCCAUCCGUUAGCUUAGCAUAUUGAUCGUUCAGUUUUAUUGCUAUUGCUUUCUUCAUGUCAAAUACAUAUUCCUUCGACUAUGAGAUUAUGCAACUCCCGGACACCGGAGGAAUACCUUGUUGAUACGUCUCCAAUGUAUCUAUAAUUUUUUAUUGUUCCAUGCUGUUAUAUUAUCAAUCUUGGAUGUUUUAUAAUCAUUUUAUACCAUUUUUUGGUAAUAAUCUAUUAACAUAGUGCCAAGUGCCACUUGCUGUUUUCUGCAUGUUUUUUACAUCGCACGAAAUCAAUACCAAACGGAGUCCAAAUGCAACAAAACUUUACGGAGAUUUUUUAGGGACCAGAAGACACCCAAUGGGCCAAGGCAGCGCCUGGGGGUGCUCCGAGGGGAGCACAACCCACCAGUGCGCGCCAGGAGGCCCAGGCGCGCCCAGGUGGGUUGUGCCCACCUCGGGUGCCCCCGGACCGCCUCUUUGCUCUGUAAUACACCAAUAUUCCAGAAACCCUAGGGGAGUCGGCAAAAAUCAAUUCUAGCGCCACAGAGUCCAGAACCACCAGAUCCAAUCUAGACACCAUCACGGAGGGGUUCGCCACUUCCAUUGGUGCCUCUCCGAUGAUGCGUGAGUAGUUCUUUAUGGACCUUCGGGUCUGUAGUUAGUAGCUAGAUGGCUUCCUCUCUCUCAUUUGAUUCUCAAUACAAUAGUCUCUUGGAGAUCCAUAUGAUGUAACUCUUUUUGUGGUGUGUUUGUUGGGAUCAGAUGAACUUUGAGUUUAUGAUCAGAUCUAUCAUUUUAUAUCCAUGAAAGUAAUUUGAGUUUCUUUGAUCUCUUAUAUGCAUGAUUGCUUAUAGCCUCGUAUUUCUUCUCCGAUAUUUGGGUUUUGUUUGGCCAACUUGAUAUAUUUAUCUUACAAUGUGAAGAGGUGCUUUGUAGUGGGUUCGAUCUUACGGUGCUUGAUCCCGGUGACAGAAGGGGAACCGACACGUAUGUAUCGUGGCUACUAAGGAUAAAAUGAUGGGUUCUGUCUCUACAUAGAUAGAUCUUGUCUACAUCAUGUCAUCGUUCUUAUUGCAUGCAUUACUCUGUUUAUCCAUGAACUUAAUACACUAGAUGCAUGCUGGAUAGCGGUCGAUGUGUGGAGUAAUAGUAGUAGAUGCAAGCAGGAGUCGAUCUACUAAUCUUGGAUGUGAUGCCUAUUUAAUGAUCAUUUCCUGGAUAUCGUCAUGAUUAUUUGAAGUUCUAUCAAUUGUCCAACAAUAAUUUGUUUACCCACCAUGUGCUAUUUUUCUCGAGAGAAGCCACUAGUGAAACCUACGGCCCCCGGGUAUCUUUCUCAUAUUAUUUGCCUUUGCGAUCUACUUUUCCUUUGCUUUUAUUUUCAGAUCUAUUAAACCAAAAAUACAAAAAUACCUUGUUGCAUUUUAUUCUUAUUUAUUUUAUUUGGCACUCGAUCUAUCAAUCUACUACAAUUUUAUUCACGUCCGUUUGCCUAUCUUGGGGCGCCGCUACACGAAAGGAAUUGACAACCCCUUUUACACGUCGGGUUGCAAGUAUUUGUUAUUUGUGUGCAGGUGUUAUUUACGUUGUGUUGCCUGGUUCUCCUACUGGUUUGAUAAUCUUGGUUUCAUCACUGAGGGAAAUACCUACCACCGAUGUGCUGCAUCAUCCCUUCCUCUUUGGGGAAAUACCGACAUAGCUUCAAGCCGCCAUCAAAAGGGAAUUUCUAGCGCCGUUGCCGGGGAAGAUCUUCAACAUAUACCAGGUUCCUAAUCAGAAAUCUCAUCUCCUCACAAUUUACAUUAUUUGGAAUUUGCCUCUCGUUUUCCUCUCCCCCACUUAACAAUAAUUGUCAUUUUUAUUCGCCCCUCUUUUAUGUUCGUCGUUUUCUUGUCGGAUCUGUUUUUAGUGCAAUCUUGUUGAGUAGUCAUCAUGACUCAAGAGAACACCAAGUUGUGUGAUUUCUCAAAUACCAACAACAAUGAUUUUAUCGGCACUCCGAUUGCUCCUCCCGCCACUAGUGCGGAGUCUUGUGAUAUUAAUACUGCUUUGCUGAAUCUUGUUAUGAAAUAUCAAUUUUCUGGUACUCCUAAUGAGGAUGCCCCGUUCCAUCUUAAUACAUUCGUGGAAUUAUGCGAUAUGCAAAAGAAAAAAGAUGUGGACAAUGAUGUGGUAAAGAUGAAAUUAUUUCCAUUUUCUUUGCGUGAUUCUACAAAAAAAAUUAUCUUCUUUGGCUCGCAAUAGUAUGGAUUCUUGGCAUAAAUACAAAGAUGCUUUUAUCACUAAGUAUUUUCCGCCUGCAAAAAUCAUUUCCCUUAGAACCCAGAUCAUGAAUUUCAAGCAACUUGAACAUGAGCAUGUUGCACAAUCUUGUGAAAGGAUGAAAAUGAUGCUAAGGAAUUGCCCAACUCAUGGGUUAAAUCUUUGGAUGAUCAAACAAAUUUUUUAUGCGGGGUUUGUUUCUCGUAAUCAUUUAGAUUACGUCGUGGGUGGUACUUUUAUGGAAAUUACUUUGGAUGAAGCCACCAAAUUGCUUCAUAAUAUCAUGGCAAAUUAUUCACAAUGGCAUACCGAAAGAGCUGCUACUAGUAAAAGUUAAUUCGGCUGAAGAAAUUUCUUCUUUGAGUGAAAAAAGUUGAUGCUCUUAUGAAAUUGGUUGCUAGUAAAAGUGCUCCUAUUGAUUUUAAUGAUAUGCCUUUUGAUACAUCUCCGUCGUAUCUACUUUUCUAAACACUUUUGCCCUUGUUUUGGACUCUAACUUGCAUGAUUUGAAUGGAACUAACCCGGACUGACGCUGUUUUCAGCAGAAUUGCCAUGGUGUUAUUUAUGUGCAGAAACAAAAGUUCUCGGAAUGACCUGAAACUCCAUGGAGCGUCUUUUUGGAAAUAAUAAAAAAUACUGGUAAAAGAUCAAGACCAGGGGGCCCACACCCUAGCCAUGAGGGUGGGGGCGCGCCCCCUGGAGCUCCUCCGACCUCAACUCCAACUCUAUAUAUUUGCUUUCGGGGAGAAAAAAAUAAGAGAGAAGGAUUCAUCGCGUUUUACGAUAUGGAGCCGUCUCCAAGCCCUAAAACCUCUCGGGAGGGCUAAUCUGGAGUCCGUUCGGGGCACCGGAGAGGGGAAUCCGUCGCCAUCAUCAUCAUCAACCAUCCUCCAUCACCAAUUUCAUGAUGCUCACCGCCGUGUGUGAGUAAUUCCAUCAUAGGCUUGCUGGACGGUGAUGGGUUGGAUGAGAUUUAUCAUGUAAUCAAGUUAGUUUUGUUAGGGUUUGAUCCCUAGUAUCCACUAUGUUCUGAUAUUGAUGUUGCUAUGACUUUGCUAUGCUUAAUGCUUGUCACUAGGGCCUGAGUGCCAUGAUUUCAGAUCUGAACCUAUUAUGUUUUCAUGAAUAUAUGUGAGUUCUUGAUCCUAUCUUGCAAGUCUAUAGUCACCUACUAUGUGUUAUGAUCUGGCAACCCCGAAGUGACAAUAAUCGGGACCACUCCCGGUGAUGACCGUAGUUUGAGGAGUUCAUGUAUUCACUAUGUGUUAAUGCUUUGGUCCGGUACUCUAUUAAAAGGAGGCCUUAAUAUCCCUUAGUUUCCGCUGGGACCCCACUGCCACGGGAGGGUAGGACAAAAGAUGCCAUGCAAGUUCUUUUCCAUAAGCACGUAUGACUAUAUUCGGAAUACAUGCCUACAUUACAUUGAUGAAUUGGAGCUAGUUCUGUGUCACCCUAGGUUAUGACUAUUACAAGAUGAACCACAUCCGGCAUAAUUCUCUAUCACCGAUCCAUUGCCUACGAGCUUUCCAUAUAUUGUUCUUCGCUUAUUUACUUUUCCGUUGCUAUUGCUAUCAUCACUACAAAAUACCAAAAACACUACUUUUGUUACCGUUACCUUUUGCUAUCAUUACCACUACUAUCAUAUUACUUUGCUACAGAUAUUAAGUUUCCAGGUGUGGUUGAAUUGACAACUCAGCUACUAAUACUUGAGAAUAUUCUUUGGCUCCCCUUGUGUCGAAUCAAUAAAUUUGGGUUGAAUACUCUACCCUCAAAAACUGUUGCGAUCCCCUAUACUUGUGGGUUAUCAAGACUAUUUUCUGGCACCGUUGCCGGGGAACAUAGCUCUAUUCUUUGAGUCACUUGGGAUUUAUAUCUGCUUAUCAUUAUGAAGAACUUGAGAGAUCCAAAAACCAAGAUUUAUCCCUAACUACGAGGGGGUAAGGAAUUGCCAUCUAGCUCUGCACUUGAUUCACCUUCUGUUUUGAGUAAGCUUGCGACACCUAAGCCUGCUUCUGCUAUUCAUUCUGAUAUGUCGCAUGUUAUUGAUGAUGCCACUUCUGCUAUGCAUGAUACUUAUGAUGAAACUACUUCUAUGCUUGAUACUACUGUGCCACUUGGUGAAUUUCUUGAUGAACAACUUGCUAGGGUUACAGAGAAUGAAAUUAUUGAAACUGAUAAUAUUGACGAAAGUGAUGAUGAAGACUCUCCCCCUAAUAAAUAUGAAUUGCCUGUUGUUCCUGAGGGUUAUGUUCUAGAUGAAGAAUCUGCUAGAUCUAUUCUUGCUUGCAACGAUAGAUAUGAUCUAAAGAGGUUAUUAGCUAAAUGGAAGCAGCAAUCCCUUAAUGCUAGAAUGAAACCUGGCCCUGCUUUUGCUACUUCACCUAUCUAUGUUAUUGAUAAGGAUUAUGAAUUCUCUAUUUAUCCUGAUAUAAUUACUUUGGUUGAAUCUGAUCCUUUUUAUGGCUAUGAAUCUGAAACUGUUGUGGCACAUCUUACUAAAUUAAAUGAUAUAGCCACCCUAUUCACUAAUGAUGAGAAAUCUCGCUACCUUUAUAUCCUUAAAAUAUUUCCAUUCUGAUUAAAGGGUGAUGCUAAGAUAUGGUUUAAUUCUUUGGAUCCUGGUUGUGUGCGUAGUCCCCAGGAUAUGAUUUAUUACUUCUCUGCUAAAUAUUUCCCUGCUCAUAAGAAACAAGCUGCUUUGAGGGAUAUAUAUAAUUUUGUGCAAAUUGAAGAACAGAGUCUCCCACAAGCUUGGGGGAGGCUUCUCAAGUUACUUAAUGCUUUGCAUGAUCAUCCUCUUAAGAAAAAUGAAAUACUUGAUAUCUUUUAUAAUGGACUAAAUGAUGCUUCCAGAGAUUACCUGGAUAGUUGUGCUGGUUCUGUUUUUAGGGAAAGAACACCGGAUGAAGCUGAAAUUCUAUUGAAUAAUAUGUUGACAAAUGAAAAUAAUUGGACACUUCCUGAGCCAGCUCCUAAGCCUAUUCCUAAACCAACUCCGGAGAAAAGAGGUGUUCUAUUUCUCAGUCCUGAAGAUAUGCAAGAGGCAAAGAAAUGCAUGAAAGAAAAGGGUAUUAAAGCUGAAGAUGUUAAGAAUUUGCCUCCUAUAUAAGAAAUAUGUGGUCUUAAUUUAACGCCUACUGAAGAAAUACAUGGUCUUGAUAACCCGAGACAGGUAGUAAAGGUAAACUCUCUCUAUAGAUAUGAUAAAGCUAAAAUCCCAUUUAUUAAGUUUGCUAGCCCAUGCUUAGAUGAGUUUGAUAAAUUUAUGGUUAAGCAAGAAGACUUCAAUGCUUAUUUUGGUAGAGAAUUAAAACGCAGUGCUGGUAUGCUUGAACACUUGGGUGAUUAUAUGGCCAAUGUCAAAGGUGAACUUAAACUUAUUAGCAAACAUGCAUCUAUGGUUACCACUCAAGUAGAACAAGUACUUAAAGCUCAAAAUGAUUUGCUCAAUGGACUAAAUAGUAAGAAUAAUGAUAAUGCAGUUAGAGUUAUGACUAGAGGUGGUAAAAUGACUCAGGAACCUUUGUAUCCUGAAGGCCAUCCUAAGAGAAUUGAGCAAGAUUCUCAGAGAAAUAAUAUAGAUGCACCUAGUUCUUCUAAAAGGAAGAAAAAGAAAAAUGACAGGACUUUGCAUGCUUCUAGUGAACCUAUUGUUGAAACACAUGAGAAUCAAAAUGAUAUUCCUAUUUCUGAUGCUGAAACACAAUCUGGUAAUGAACCUGAAACUAGUGAUAACGUUAAUGAUAAUGUUCAUGAUGAUGCUCAACCUAGUAAUGAUAAUGAUAUAGAAAUUGAACCUGUUGUUGAUCUUGAUAACCCACAAUCAAAGAAUCAACGUUAUGAUAAGUAAGACUUUGUUGCUAGGAAACACGGAAAGGAAAGAGAGCCUUGGGUUCAGAAACACAUGCCUUUUCCUCCCAAACCAUCCAAGAGAAAGGAUGAUGAGGAUUUUGAGAGCUUUGCUGAAAUGAUUAGACCUAUCUUUUUGCGUAUGCGAUUAACUGAUAUGCUUAAAAUGAAUCCUUAUGCUAAGUACAUGAAAGAAAUUGUCACUAAUAAAAGGAAGAUACCGGAAGCUGAAAUUUCCACCAUGCUUGCUAAUUAUACUUUUAAGGGUGGAAUACCAAAGAAACUUGGAGAUCCAGGAGUACCCACUAUACCAUGCUCCAUUAAAAGAAACUAUGUUAAUACUGCUUUAUGUGAUCUUGGAGCCGGUGUUAGUGUUAUGCCUCUCUCUUUAUAUCAUAGACUUGAUUUGAAUAAGUUGACACCUACUAAAAUAUCUUUCCAAAUGGAUGAUAAAUCAACUGCUAUACCUGUCGGUAUUUGUGAGGAUGUGCCUGUUGUGGUUGCAAACGUUACUAUUUUAACGGACUUUGUUAUUCUUGAUAUUCCCGAGGACGAUACUAUGUCUAUUAUUCUUGGAAGACCCUUUUUGAAUAUUGCAGGGGCUGUUAUUGAUUGCAACAAAGGCAAUGUCACUUUUCAUGUUAAUGGUAAUGAGCAUACGGUACACUUUCCGAGGAAACAACCUCAAGUUCAUAGUAUCAACUCUAUUGGAAAAAUUCCAUCGAUUAUUAUUGGAGGUUUUGAAUUUCCUCUACCUACUGUCAAAAAGAAUAUGAUAUUCUUAUUGUUGGGGAUGUGCAUAUCCCCGUUGAGGUAACCUAGUGUUAUUCGAAAAUUCUCUGGUUCCAUGUUAUUCGGAAUGAGUUUGUUAACAAGACUUGAUCAACCUUGUUAAUGGGUUCCUUUUGAUGAUCAUGAGAUGGAUGAAUUUAGAAAACACAACUCCCUGUACCCUCUUUUUACUUUCUGUUAUUUAUAUUAAAUAAAGUAAAAAUAGUAUUUUCUGUCUGUUAUCUGAAUUAUCCGUGACAUUAGACCAACUUAGGCCAAAAGCCUAAGCUUGUGGGAGUACGUAUUUCUCACCGACAUUACAUUCAUGUUCACCCACUCAUUGCUAGAUGUUGGUGCUCAUACUUUUUCAUUGUAUCAUCCAUGCUAGUUUAUUUUCUCUUUUUAUGCUUUCUUCUUGUGUGUUCAAUAAACCUUAAGAAAAACCCAAAAAAAAUUAGUUGUAGCUUUUAGCUAGUUUUAAUUUCCAUGCUUAUAGUAGUAAUUAAAAAAACCAAAAAGAUUUCCUGUUCUGCUUUUGCUUGUUGGGAGCUUUCCCAUGUAAAUAGUUUUAUUUCUUUUCUUUUCUUUGGGGUCGAUAAGAGAAGACCAUGAUUAAAUUGUUGAAGUGGCUCUUAUAUGCAUUAUUGUUGAUUUAACCAAGAGCCCAUAUUGCCUUGUCUUCUCCUGUUUAUUGAAUGCUCGCAGAUUCCAGCUUAGUUCAAUGCACGUGCACCCUUAAUAUUAUUCACAUCGUUCGGUCGUGCAAGUGAAAGGCGAUUAUGACGAUAUAUGAUGGACUGACUGAGAUGAGAAAAACUGGUAUGAACUCGACCUCUCUUGUUUUUGUAAAUAUGAUUAGUUCAUCGUUCCUGAUUCAGCCUAUUAUGAAUAAACAUGUUUGCAAUGACAACUAGAGAUCAUAGUUUCUUGUGCCAUGCUUAAUUAGCUAGGAGCUUAUAAUGGUUUACUUGCGUGCCAACAUGCUAUUAAAAUGGUUGUGAUGUGGUAUGAUAGGGUGGUAUCCUCUUUUGAACGAUUCGAGUGGCUUGACUUGGCACAUGUUCACGCAUGUAGUUGAAACAAAAUCAACAUAGCCUCUAUGAUAUUUCUGUUCAUGGUCCAUUAUAUCCUACUCAUGCUUGCAUUCGGUGUUGAUUAAUUUUAAUGCAUGUUCAUGACUGUUGUCGCUCUCUAGCUGGUCGCUUCCCAGUCUCUUUCUAGCUUUCACCUAUACUAAGCGGAAAUACUGCUUGUGCAUCCAAUCCCAUAAACCCCAAAGUUAUUCCAUAUGAGUCCACCAUACCUACCUAUAUACUGUAUCUACCUGCCGUUCCAAGUAAAUUUGUAUGUGCCAAACUCUAAACCUUCAAAUAAAUAUUAUGUUUUGUAUGCUCAAAUAGCUCAUGUAUCAACUAGGGCUGCCCGUAUCUUCCAUGUUAGGCGGGUUAUUCUCAAGAGGAGUGGACUCCGCUCCUCACUCACGAGAAAAUGGCUGGUCACCGGGAUGCCCAGUCUCAUGCUUUAUGCAAAUCAAAUCAAAAUAAUUGCAAACAAAACUCCCCCUGGGACUCUUGUUAGUUGGAGUCACUCGUUUCGAGCAAGCCAUGGAUUGAUGCUUGUUGGUGGAGGGGGAGUAUAAACUUUACCAUUCUGUUUGGGAACCGCCUAUAAUGUGUGUAGCAUGGAAGAUAUCGCCAUCUCUUGGUUUUUAUGUUGACAAUGAAAGUAUACCGCUCAAAAUAUUAUUCACCUCUAUUUCAAAACCGAGCUCUGGCACCUCUACAAAUCCUUGCUUCCCUCUGCGAAGGGCCUAUCUAUUUACUCUUAUGUUGAGUCAUCAUCCUCUUAUUAAAAAGCACUAGCUGGAGAACACAACUAUCAUUUGCAUUCAUUAUUGUUAGUUUACAUUGAGUAUGACUUGAUUGGAUCUCUUUUACCAUGAAUUACAAUGUCUAGUAAGUCCUUGAUCUUUAAAAGUGCUCUGCAUUUAUGUUUUGCGGUCUUAGAAAGGGCUAGCGAGAUACCAUCUUGUUAUAUCAUAUUAUGAUUAUUUUGAGAAAGUGUUGUCAUCCGAGAUUUAUUAUUAUUGCUUGCUAGUUGAUUAUGCCAUUGAUAUGAGUAAACAUGAGACCUAAGCGUUAUUGUGAAUAUGGUUAGUUCAUAAUCUUUGCUAAAAACUUGAAUGCUGGCUUUACAUAUUUACAACAACAAGAGCAAACAGAGUUUGUAAAAGUUUUUCUUUAUCACUUUCAGUUUGUCAACUGAAUUGCUUGAGGACAAGCAAAGGUUUAAGCUUGGGGGAGUUGAUACGUCUCCGUCGUAUCUACUUUUUCAAACACUUUUGCCCUUGUUUUGGACUCUAACUUGCAUGAUUUGAAUGGAACUAACCCGGACUGACGCUGUUUUCAGCAGAAUUGCCAUGGUGUUAUUUAUGUGCAGAAACAAAAGUUCUCGGAAUGACCAAAAAAUCCACGGAGUGUCUUUUCGGAAAUAAUAAAAAAUACUGGCAAAAGAUCAAGACCAGGGGGCCACACCCUAGCCACGAGGGUGGGGGCGCGCCUGCCCCCCUGGGAGCGCCCCCCUACCUCGUGGGCCCCCUGGAGCUCCUCCGACCUCAACUCCAACUCUAUAUAUUUCCUUUCGGGAAGAAAAAAAAUAAGAGAGAAGGAUUCAUCGCGUUUUACGAUAUGGAGCCGCCGCCAAGCCCUAAAACCUUUCGGGAGGGCUGAUCUGGAGUCCGUUCGGGGCUCCGAAGAGGGGAAUCCGUCGCCAUCGUCAUCAUCAACCAUCCUCCAUCACCAAUUUCAUGAUGCUCACCGCCGUGCGUGAGUAAUUCUGUCGUAGGCUUGCUGGACGGUGAUGGGUUGGAUGAGAUUUAUCAUGUAAUCGAGUUAGUUUUGUUAGGGUUUGAUCCCUAGUAUCCACCAUGUUCUUAGAUUGAUGUUGCUAUGACUUUGCUAUGCUUAAUGCUUGUCACUAGGGCCCGAGUGCCAUGAUUUCAGAUCUGAACCUAUUAUGUUUUCAUGAAUAUAUGUGAGUUCUUGAUCCUAUCUUGCAAGUCUAUAGUCACCUAGUAUGUGUUAUGAUCCGGCAACCCCGAAGUGACAAUAAUUGGGACCACUCCCGGUGAUGACCGUAGUUUGAGGAGUUCAUGUAUUCACUAUGUGUUAAUGCUUUGGUCCGGUACUCUAUUAAAAGGAGGCCUUAAUAUCCCUUAGUUUCCGCUGGGACCCCACUGCCACGGGAGGGUAGGACAAAAGAUGCCAUGCAAGUUCUUUUCCAUAAGCACGUAUGACUAUAUUCGGAAUACAUGCCUACAUUACAUUGAUGAAUUGGAGCUAGUUCUGUGUCACCCUAGGUUAUGACUGUUACAUGAUGAACCGCAUCCAGCAUAAUUCUCUAUCAUCGAUCCAUUGCCUACGAGCUUUCCAUAUAUUGUUCUUCGCUUAUUUACUUUUCCGUUGCUAUUGCUAUCAUCACUACAAAAUACCAAAAACACUACUUUUGUUACUGUUACCUUUUGCUAUCGUUACCACUACUAUCAUUUUACUUUGCUACUAAAUACUUUGCUGCAAUAUUAAGUUUCCAGGUGUGGUUGAAUUGACAACUCAGCUGCUAAUACUUGAGAAUAUUCGUUGGCUCCCCUUGUGCCGAAUCAAUAAAUUUGGGUUAAAUACUCUACCCUUGAAAACGGUUGCGAUCCCCUAUACUUGUGGGUUAUCACCUUUGUCUACUUUGAUUGAGCAAACUAGUGAUGCCGUAGAUGUGAAUUUUAUCUCUCGAAAUAAUUUCAACAACAAUGCUUAUAGAGGUAAUUUUAAUCCUAGGCCUUCUCCUAGUAAUUCCUCUAAUAAUUGUGGUAAUUCCUAUGGAAAUCCUUAUUAUAAUAAUAAUAGGAACACCUUUGAUCUUGAGAAUAAUAUUUAGGAGUUUACCAACACGCAAGAAGUUUUCAACACUACUAUAGAAGAAAAGUUGAAUAAGAUUGAUGAUUUUUCAAGAAGUGUUGGUAGAAUUUCUCAUGAUGUGGAAAAUCUCAACAUGAAAUUUUUUGUGCCUAAGGUUGAGAAAUCAAUUAAAUCUCUUUAUGUUUCUAUGGAUGAAAGUAAGAAAAGAACUGCUAUGCUUAGAGCUAAAAGAGAAUUUUUAGAAAAAGCGUUUUCUAGUGAUUACUUUCGUAAAAGUGAUGAAGAUCUUAAAAUGAUUGGUGUUUCUUCUAUUGAUUCCUUGUUUAGUAAAAUUAAUAUUGAUGAAAAAGGGACAUGAGAAGAGUCAACUUUAGUUAGAAGGCGUCCUGAUAAUUCGAAGGGUGAAAAUCAUGUUGAGAAAAUUAAUAAAAGUGGGUUUGAAGAGGUCAAAACUUUAACUUGUGAUGUGCCCACUCUUUUGGAUCACAAAGACUUUAAUUAUGAUAGUUGCUCUUUGAUUGAUUGUAUUUCUGUAACACCCCGGAUGUAAUUUACCUUAUCUGUAUCCCAACUCUUGCCGUUUCCGGCCUAAGUUAUUUUAUUUUCCUCGGGUUCAGGUUUUUGUCUCCGUGUGUUGUUGCCUUUGUCAUGCAUCUCAUAUCAUGUCAUCUUGUGCAUUGCUUUUGCAUACGCGUUCGUCUCAUGCAUCUGAGCAUUUUCCUCGUUGUCCGUUUUGCAUUCCGGCGCUCCUAUCUCCUCCGGUGGUCCUUUCUACCUCUUUUCGUGUGUGGGGGUUAAACAUUUCCGGAUUGGACCGAGACUUGCCAAGCGGCCUUGGUUUACUACCGGUAGACCGCCUGUCAAGUUUCGUGCCAUUUGGACUUCGUUUGAUACUCCAACGGUUAACCGAGGGACCGAGAAGGCCUUGUUUGUGUUGCAGCCCAACACCCUUCCAUUUUGGCCCAAAAACCACCUAAACCCCUUCUAUCGUCUAGAGAGUUCAAUCACGAUCGCGUGGCUGCAAACCGCUCCUCAUUCUGAGCUUCCUAGCUCCUCCUAUCUAUAAAAAGGCCUCCUCCCCAAAAAUUCCGGAUCAAGUCUACCCUAACCCUAGCUCCCCGCUCCUCUCCGCGCGCCGGACGUGUCCGCCGGCGCCGGACAACGUCCGCCUCCGCCCGCGCCCUCCCAGCUCCUGCCACGUGUCACCGCCUCCUUCCUCCCGCCGCCGGCCAGGGCAGGCCCGCGCCGGGCCCUCCAGGCCCAUCAGGGUGCGCCNNNNNNNNNNNNNNNNNNNNNNNNNNNNNNNNNNNNNNNNNNNNNNNNNNNNNNNNNNNNNNNNNNNNNNNNNNNNNNNNNNNNNNNNNNNNNNNNNNNNNNNNNNNNNNNNNNNNNNNNNNNNNNNNNNNNNNNNNNNNNNNNNNNNNNNNNNNNNNNNNNNNNNNNNNNNNNNNNNNNNNNNNNNNNNNNNNNNNNNNNNNNNNNNNNNNNNNNNNNNNNNNNNNNNNNNNNNNNNNNNNNNNNNNNNNNNNNNNNNNNNNNNNNNNNNNNNNNNNNNNNNNNNNNNNNNNNNNNNNNNNNNNNNNNNNNNNNNNNNNNNNNNNNNNNNNNNNNNNAUGCUACCACCGCCGCCUUCGUCCUCCUCGUCGCCCGGCGAGUCCCUCCACUCCGGCCAAGCUCCGGCGAGCUUCUUCCACUACUCCGGCCACCACCGCGGACAUUUCCGGCGACCUUGGUGUGACAUGAACAGUGCUGCUACAGUAACCACGGGCUGGAUCUGAGAUCUACUCCAGACGGUUGACUUUUCAUCCCCGAACCCUAAUCUUUUUGCAAACUUUGGCAUGCUAUAACUCUGCAUCCGUAGCUCCGAUUUGUGCGUGUAGCAUAUCAAAAUGUUCGUAUCGACGAGUACAUCAUUUCAUCUCAUUGCAUUAUUUUAAUUUGAACUCAUCUUGAUGCCCGAAAUGCUGUUGGAAGAGGGCUAUGUGGUGAAUUUGUCAGAUCUGUUUCAUCAAAUAGUUAUUUGUCAUUUUUUCCAUGAUUAAUGUGUGCAUGAUAUGAUACUGAGCUCUAUAGGUGUUUUGUUAUAUGCCAUGCCAUCUUUACAGAGGUGCUUACCAUGUAUUUUUGUGAUAUGUGUGGUGACUAGCACAAGCUUGCAAAGUAGUGUAAUCGGUAAUGCUGAUUUCAGGGACUUAGAAUUUCACUAAGUCCUUGUCCUGAUUUUGUUGAUAUGCCAUAUGUUCAUGUUGUUUCCUAGUGAUCCGUGCCUCUUUUGAGGAUGAUCAGUAAGGAUGAUUUGUUAAAAUUGUGGUGCUCUAUCUAUCCAUGUCUUUGUUUGCAUUUAUGGAGCACCCUAGCUUGAGUCAAUCGAGCUCUACUUUUGCUAUAUCGGGAAGCCUAGCAGAUUGUUGACUUGUUAGCGAUUUUGCCAAGGAUGUUGCUAUUGAUCCGUGCAUGGUCUAUUGUUGUUCUUGCCAUUUAUAGGUUCUAUGCCAUGUAUUCUUGAUGGGUGUAUGCUUAGUUUGUCAUGCCAUGCUCUAUAGUGAGUGCAUCGAGCUCGUAAACAUGCCUACUCGUUAAUUGAUUUGCAUGCUCCAGUUUUUCACUAAGUCUGAGAUCUGUUUAUGUUUUUACCAUGUUCACAUGCUUGCAAUUGUAUUUUCUGAUCCCUUUUGGCUCAAGGUCACUAAGGGACUUUUGUUAAGUGCUUUGAGUAGCUUCAUGCCAUGACUUGCUUUGCCAUGUUAAGUUCCUGUAGCAUGUAGUUUUCAUGCUCUAAAGUGUGCUUCCUGAUGAUAAAUUCCAGACUUGUGUUAAUUUCACUGUCUGAAACCUGUUAUUGUUUGCACUUUUGCCAUGCUUGUUUGAACUUGUUAAUGGAUGAAUUAGCCAUAGCUCAGUGUUAAUCGUUUGUGAAGCUUCAUGAGUGGAUCCCUGCCAUGUAUUUUUUUGUCAUGUUUGAGUGUUGUUGCAUAUUUAUCUUGAUGCAUGUAGUUGGUCACUUGCUGUUUAUCGCAGACCGGUGCCAUAUUUGUUUUGCUUGCCAUUUCUAAACCGUGCGUCCGAUUCCGGUGAACUUUAUAUCGAUUUCAACCGAAAUCACCUCACCUUUCCAGUGGCACUCUUGGAUUUCCAUGUUGAGGCCAGGUUCAUUCAUUCGUUUGCAAAUCUUGCAUCUGCAUCGCAUACCGCAUCCCGCAUAUCAUACCAGGUUUGCAUCAUGUUGUUUGAGCAUUGCACGUGGUUGAUUGUGUUAUGUUUGCUUGUUGUCUUGUUGUUCUUGUUUGGGUAGAGCCGGGAGACGAGUUCAUGAACGAGGAGCCCAUUGAGUUCGCUUACGAGGAUCAAGUCAACUCUGACAACCUUGCAGUCAAGAUGAUCAUACCCUCGAAAUCACUUCUAUCUUUGCUUGCUAGAUGCUCGCUCUUUUGCUAUGCCUAUGCUACGAUACCUAACACUUGCUUAUCAUGCCUCCCAAAUUGCCAUGUCAAACCUCUAACUCACCAUGUCCUAGCAAACCAUUGAUUGGCUAUGUUACCGCUUUGCUCAUCCCCUCUUAUAGCGUUGCUAGUUGCAGGUGAAGAUUGGAGAUUGUUCCUUGUUGGAACAUUGUUUAUUGUUGGAAUAUCAUCAUAUUAUCUUGUUAUCUUAAUGCACCUAUAUACUUGGUAAAGGGUGGAAGGCUCGGCCUUUUGCCUAGUGUUUUGUUCCACUCUUGCCGCCCUAGUUUCCGUCAUAUCGGUGUUAUGUUCCCGGAUUUUGCGUUCCUUACACGGUUGGGUUAUAAUGGGAACCCCUUGACAGUUCACCUUGAAUAAAACUCCUCCAGCAAUGCCCAACCUUGGUUCUACCAUUUGCCACCUAGCCUCUUUUUCCCUUGGGUUUCCGGAGCCCAAGGGUCAUCUUUAUUUAAACCCCCCCCCCCGGGCCAGUGCUCCUCUGAGUGUAGGUCCAAACUAGAGCUCUGUGCAGUGCCCCCUCGGGGAAACUCGAGGUUUGGUUUUAGUUGUAUGGAGCGCUCAUCUGAGUGUGCCCUGAGAACAAGAUAUGUGCAGCUCCUAUCGGGAUUUGUCGGCACAUUCGGGCAGUGUCGUUGGACUUGUUUUACCAUUGUCGAGGAUGUCUUGUAAAACCGGGAUGCCGAGUCUGAUCAGAAUGUCUCGGGAGAAGGAAUAUCCUUCGUUGACCAUGAGAGCUUGUGAUGGGCUAAGUUGGGACUCCCCUGGAGGGAUUUGAACUUUCGAAAGCCGUGCCCGCGGUUAUGGGCAGAUGGGAAUUUGUUAAUGUCUGGUUGUAGAUAACAUGGACCUUAACUUAAUUAAAAUGAAUCAAACGCGUGUGUAACCGUGAUGGUCUCUUCUCGGCGGAGUCCGGGAAGUGAACACGGUGUUGGAGUAAUGCUUGACGUAGGUUGUUCUAGGAUCACUUCUUGAUCAUAGUUGUUCGACCGUGCUUUUGCCUUCUCUUCUCGCUCUCUUUUGCGAACAGGUUAGCCACCAUAUAUGCUAGUCGCUUGCUACAGCUCCACAUAUUACCUUGACUUACCUAUAAGAUUAAAUAGUCUUGAUCGCGAGGUUGCGAGAUUGCUGAGUCCCCGUGACUCACAGUUUACUUCCACAACCAGAUGCAGGGACCGAUGAUACCGUUCCAGACGAUGCGCUUGAGCUCAAGUGCGAGUUCGAUGAAGACUCUCGCCGUUACUAUGUGUCUUUCCCAGAUGAUCAGUAGUGGUGCCCAGUUGGGGCGAUCGGGGACCGUGUCGCAUGUUGGGGUUGAUCUUUAUUUUGGUACCGUAGUCGGACCAUAAGUGUAUUGGAUGAUUGUAAUGUUAUUCAUGUAUUUGUGUGACGUGGCGAGUGUAAGCCAACUAUGUAUCCUUUCCCCUUUUAUAUAUUUACAUGGGUUGUUCUGAAGAUUACCUUACUUGCGACAUUGCUUUUCAAUGCGGUUAUGCCUCUAAGUCAUGCUUCGACACGUAGGAGAUAUAGCCGCAUCGAGGGCAUUACAAGUUGGUAAUCAAAGCCUUCCCCGGCCUUAGGAGCCCCCUGCUUGAUCGAAUCGUUGGCGUUGUUGAGUUUAGAAAAAUGUUUUGAGUCAUUUAGGAUUAUAAAUAUCGGAGAGUUUAGGAAUUCUUUUUACUCCCCAGUCCCUUCAUCGCUCUGGUAAGGCAUCCUGACGUAGAGUUUUGACUCUUCUCUUCUCAAAUUUCACUAAAAAAAUUAGGAUCACGCGGGUAUCUUGGAAUCAUUCCGAUCGAUUUGUGACAAGAACAUUGUUCUUGGUGCCUCCUAUCAUUUAGGGGUUGUGGCAAUGUCCCGGGGAGUUGAGCUCCGAGGUGUUGUCAUCACAAUUUUAUCAUUGAGAUUCUGGAAUACCUGAGUUUCGCCGACAUCGAAAAUCUCUUUUAUGCAGUUGUUGGUGAGAUAACCUCGACGCCACCCAGUACUGGGGCGGGAGUUCGGGAGUAUUGCCAUAACUUGUAUAACGGAUGCUUUUCGAAGGUUGAGGUAGAUGAUUUCCUAAGUUUUUCUCGGUUAUGUGUUGAAGGAUGGAUACAGCUGGAUGUAGGAUUUGCUAGAUUUGGGUGAGAUAUUAUGCUUCCCCUGUAUCCCCAACACCUGAUUGCAUCACUGAAAAGGUUCAGGAGUUUCAUAGGUGGGAAUUCUUGUAGCUCUAGUUCUUCUUCCGCAGAUAUUUGGUUUGGGAUUGGGUAAUCCUCACCAAGUAUUUGUUCUUGUUCCUUACCUUGUUGUUUUUCUUCUACCUCAAUUCUAAGUGGCUUAUCAAUUUAUGGAUAUGUGACCAUUUCAAUUGGAAUGCAUUCGUUCAUUUUGUUCGGAUGAGAAGACUAUAUGUUGCAAUUUCAACCCGUUUGAUUCAGCUUCAAUAUUUGUCUGUCAAUGUGCUAACAGAUGUCAACCUAUUCAGGAUGGCUCCUCCAACGCGCACGACUCCGAAUCCUGAUCCACCACCACCACCUCCACCUCCGGAGGCAUGGCAAGCUGUGAUGGCCACUACCAAUGCAAACACGCAGCUCAUCAUGCAACUUCUUCAAGAGCACAACCAAGGGAACCAGGCUCAUGGCAACAAUCAGAAUCAGUUUGCUACACUCAACCAGUUCCUUGCUAACCAGCCAAAGACCUUCAGCAAUUGUGUUGAGGCAACAGACGCUGAUGAUUGGCUCGUGGACAUAUGCAAGCAUUUCGAGUGCAGUAACGUCAGGCCUGAGGACUUUGUCAAGUUCGCUUCCUUCCAACUCAAAGACCAAGCUGCAGAAUGGUUUUAGCAGUACAGAUUCCAGAGGAGGCCGUGUGAUUACCUGGGAUGAAUUCCGUCAAGACUUCAAAGCUCAUCAUAUUCCUCAGAGCGUGGUUGAAAGCAAGCGUGAGGAAUUCCGCAACCUGAAGCAAGGCUCUAUGUUUGUUUACGAGUACAACAAGAUGUUUUAGAAACUCGCCCGUUUUGCUAAGCUAGACGUCCCGGACGAGAAGAGCAUGAUAUACUAGUUUAGGGGUGGUCUCAAAGAAGAAAUCCAGCUAGCUCUCGUCCUCUUUGAGCCCAAGAGGUACGAUGAGUUUUACAACAUGGCAAUGAAGCAAGAGACUGCUCAACUGAAGUGUGAUGCUUCCAAGAAGCGAAUCAGAGAUGCUACUCCUUCUUCCUCAACUCAAGUGGCUAAGCAGCAGAAGUAUUGGCUUCCUCCUCCUCUGUUCCGUCAGCCUUAUUAGCAGAAGAGCAAAGGUGGCAGUGGAUCUUCCCACCCACCCAACCCUGGCUUUCAGAACAAGACUUCGUCUCAAGCUCCAAGAUCAAGUGCUCCGUAUCACCGUCCGCUCUCGGAGGUCACGUGCAACAAGUGCCAAUAGAAGGGUCACUAUGCCAACAAAUGCUUCAAUCAGAUGCGUCUCCCUCCUCCUCCUCCCGUGAGAUCGGCAAGUACAGCUGUGGUCAAGCAUAACCCCAAGCACACCAAGGUCAAUUUGAUGAAUGCAGCUCAGGCAGAGGACUCGUCAGAUGUCAUCAUGGAUAACCUUCCUGUUAACGAUGUUCUUGCAAAAGUUCUUUUUGACACUGGUGCAUCGCAUUGCUUCAUUUCUAAACCUUUUGCACAAAUUAUGAGUGUGAUUAUCAGCAUUUGCAAAGAUCUUUGCAAAUCGUGUCACCGGGCAAGCAAAUGACAGCUAAUAUCUGCGUCCCGGAUGUUACUAUCAUGUUGGGCGACUACAAAUUUCUAGCUUCUCCUAUUGUUCUGGGCGACUCAGAUAUUGAUCUUAUUCUUGGAAUGGAUUGGCUUUCUAAGCACAAGGCUCAUCUUGAUUGUGCUGCCAGGCAGAUUCAAUUGACUCAUUCGUCUGAGGAUGUAAUUGUCUUUGCCGCUCGUGAUGAUACCAUCCGUCUGUUUUCUCUCAAUGAGAAGGGUGAACUGGAUGCCAUCUCUCAAAUUCCAGUCGUUUGCAAAUAUCAAGACGUCUUUCCAGAAGAGCUUCCAGGAAUGCCUCCGCACCGGCCAGUUGAAUUCGUUAUCGAUCUUGAGCCUGGCACGGAACCUGUUUGCAAACGUCCUUACAAGCUUGGACCUGAAGAGUUGAAGGAGCUGAAGAAGCAACUCGAUAUUCAAGAGCGUAUGGGUCUCAUCCGACCUAGUUCUUCUCCGUGGGGUUGUGGAGUUCUUUUUUUGAAGAAGAAGGAUGGAACAGACCGACUUUGUGUUGACUACCGUCCAUUGAACAAGAAGACUAUAAAGAACAAGUACCCACUUCCCAACAUCAACGAGCUGUUUGAACAAAUCAAAGGUGCUCAAGUAUUCUCCAAGCUUGAUCUCCAUAUGGGCUAUCACCAGAUUCAAAUCCGUGAGCAAGAUAUUCCCACGAUGGCAUUCAGAAUAAGCUAUGGUUCAUAUGAAUACACUGUCAUGUCUUUUGGCCUCGUCAACGCUCCUCCGACUUUCUCUCGCAUGAUGAACUUCAUCUUCAACCCCUACACAAAUGACUUCGUCUUGGUCUACCUCGAUGACAUUUUGGUAUUUUCCAAGAACAAGGAAGAUCAUGCCAAGCACUUGCGUUUGGUGCUUGAUAAGCUCAGAGAACAUCAGUUCUACGCCAAGUUCUCAAAGUUCGAGUUUUGGCUCGAUGAGGUUCUCUAUCUUGGGCAUAUCAUCUCUGCCAAGGGCAUAGUGGUGAAUCCUGAGAAGGUGUCUGCAAUUGUGAAUUGGGAACCACCUCAGAAUGUGAAGCAACUCCGCAUCUUCCUUGGUCUCGCAAGCUAUUAUCGAAGGUUCGUUGAGAACUUUUCAAAGAUCGCGAAGCCGCUUUCCAACCUUCUCCAGAAGCAUGUCAAGUAUGUUUGGUCUCCUGAAUGUGACAUCGCUUUCAACACCUUGAAAGAGAAAUUAGGCACUGCUCUAGUUCUGACUCCUCCUGAUGAAUUCAAACCAUUCGAGGUCUUCUGCGAUGCCUCUCUUCAAGGUCUUGGUGCAGUGUUGAUGCAAGAGAAGAAAGUUGUGGCCUAUACUUCUCGCUAGUUGAAGCCCAACGAGAAGAACAACCCCACUCAUGACCUCGAGUUGGCGGCAGUUGUGCAUGCUCUUUUGAUUUGGAGACAUCUCCUAUUGGGAAGAAAAGUGGACAUCUUCACUGACCACAAGAGUCUCAAGUACAUCUUCACUCAGCCUAAUCUCAACCUCAGGCAGACUCGUUGGGUCGAAAUGAUUCAAGAGUAUAAUCCGAGUAUCGAAUAUACUCCAGGCAAGGCCAAUGUAAUUGCUGACGCAUUGAGCAGGAAGGCUUACUGCAACAGUCUGUUUCCAAGCCUUACCAACCCGAGCUUUGUGAAGCUUUCCGCAAACUCAAUCUGCAAGUUGUUCCUCAAGGUUUCCUUGACAACCUUCAAGUCUCUCCUACUUUGGAAGAUCAGAUUCGCGAGGCCCAACUUCUUGAUGCUAUGGUGAAGAAGGUGAAGAUUGGGAUUGCCAAGAGUCAACCCAAGUACAAGUGCUAUCGCCUUGAUGACAAGGAUACUCUCUUCUUCGAGGAUCGCAUUGUUGUGCCUAAAGGUGACCUUCAUAAAGUCAUUAUGAACGAGGCUCACAAUUCACUCCUCUCCAUCCACCCUGGGAGUACGAAGAUGUACCAGGACCUCAAGCAGGCGUAUUGGUGGACUCGAAUGAAGCGCGAGAUUGCUCAGUUCGUGAAUGAAUGUGAUGUCUCCAGAAGAGUGAAGGCAGAACACCAAUGACCAGCUGGUCUCCUCCAACCUCUUGCCAUUCCAGAAUGGAAGUUUGACCACAUUGAGAUGGACUUCGUGACGGGAUUUCCAAAGUCCAAGCGUGGCAAUGAUGCUAUAUUUGUUGUCAUCGACAAACUCACUAAAGUGGCUCACUUUGUGCCUAUCAAAGAGUCUAUCACGGCAGCUCAAUUGGCAGAGCUUUAUACUUCUCGGAUUGUCUCUCUGCACGACAUUCCGCAGUUGAUUUCUUGAUAUCGUGGCAGCAUCUUUAGCUCCAAGUUUUGGGAUUCUUUUCAGAAGGCCAUGGGCACCAACAUCCGUUUCAGCACAGCUUUUCAUCCUCAAACUAGCGGUCAAGUCGAGCGUGUCAAUCAGAUUCUUGAAGAUAUGCUCAGGGCUUGCGUUAUCUCUUUUGAUAUGAAGUGGGAAGAUUGUCUUCCAUAUGCCGAGUUCUCCUACAACAACAGUUUUCAAGCAAGUUCGGGCAAGGCCCCAUUUGAAAUUCUCUAUGGUAGGAAGUGUCGUACUCCUCUUAACUGGUCAGAGACCGGUGAACGUCAACUUCUUGGAAAUGACUUGAUCACAGAGGCAGAGGAGAUGUGCAAAGUCAUUCAUGAUAACCUCAAAGCAGCGUAAUUGCGCCAGAAGAGCUACUAUGAUAGUAAGCAUCGUGAUUUGGCUUUCGAGAUCGGAGACCAUGUUUACCUCCGCGUCUCUCAAUGAAAGAUACUCGUCUCUUCGGUAUCAAAGGGAAGCUUGCCCCUAGAUACGUGGGUCCUUUCAAGAUCGUUAGCAAGAGAGGCGAUCUCGCCUAUCAACUCGAGCUUCCCUCCAACUUUGCAAAUGUACACGACGUGUUCCAUGUCUCUCAGCUCCGCAAGUGCUUCAAGACCCCUGAUCGCACCGUCAACUUCGAAGACAUUAAUCUCCAAGAAGACCUUUCUUAUCAUGAGCACCCUAUUGCUAUUCUUGAAGAAACUGAGCGCAAGACUCACAAUAAGUCAAUCAAAUUCCUCAAAGUCAAGUGGUCACACCAUUCCGGCCGUGAAGCCACCUGGGAACGCGAGGAUCACCUCCGUUCUGAGUACCCGGCGUUUUUCCAGUCCUAGAUCUCGGGACGAGAUCCUUUCGUAGUGGUGGAGUGUUGUAACACCCCGGAUGUAAUUUACCUUAUCUAUUUCCCAACUCUUGCCGUUUCCGGCCUAAGUUAUUUUAUUUUCCUUCGGUUCGGGUUUUUGUCUUUGUGUGUUGUUGCCUUUGUCAUGCAUCACAUAUCAUGUCAUCUUGUGCAUUGCUUUUGCAUACGCGUUCGUCUCAUGCAUCCGAGCAUUUUCCCCAUUGUCCGUUUUGCAUUCCGGCGCUCCUAUCUCCUCCGGUGGUCCUUUCUACCUCUUUUUGUGUGUGGGGGUUAAACAUUUCCGGAUUGGACCGAGACAUGCCAAGCGGCCUUGCUUUACUACCGGUAGACCGCCUGUCAAGUUUCGUGCCAUUUGGACUUCGUUUGAUACUCCAACGGUUAACCGAGGGACCGAGAAGGCCUCGUUUGUGUUGCAGCCCAACACCCUUCCAUUUUGGCCCAAACCCCACCUAAACCCCUUCUAUCGUCUAGAGCGUUCGAUCAUGAUCACGUGGCCGCAAACCGCUCCUCAUUCUGAGCUUCCUAGCUCCUCCUAUCUAUAAAAAGGCCUCCUCCCCAAAAAUUCCGGAUCAAGUCUACCCUAACCCUAGCUCCCCGCUCCUCUCCGCGCGCCGGACGUGUCCGCCGGUGCCGGACAAUGUCCGCCUCCGCCCGCGCCCUCUCAGCUCCUGCCAUGUGUCACCGCCUCCUCCCUCCCACCGCCGGCCUGGGCAGGCCCGCACCGGGCCCUCCAGGCCCAUCGGGGUGCGCCGCUCGCCUCGGUCACCCCUGACGCCGUUCCUCGCGUCCGGCCGCCGCGUCGCCGACCGCCUCCGCCCCGGCGCGCCUCNNNNNNNNNNNNNNNNNNNNNNNNNNNNNNNNNNNNNNNNNNNNNNNNNNNNNNNNNNNNNNNNNNNNNNNNNNNNNNNNNNNNNNNNNNNNNNNNNNNNNNNNNNNNNNNNNNNNNNNNNNNNNNNNNNNNNNNNNNNNNNNNNNNNNNNNNNNNNNNNNNNNNNNNNNNNNNNNNNAACCGCUGCCUCGUCGCCGGCAGGCGCCGGUCCCUCCGCACUUCGCCGCUGAUGCUACCACCGCCGCCUUCGUCCUCCUCGUCGCCCGGCGAGUCCCUCCACUCCGGCCAAGCUCCGGUGAGCUUCUUCCACUACUCCGGCCACCACCGCGGCCAUUUCCGGCAACCUCGGUGUGAGAUGAAAAGUGCGGCUACAGUAACCACGGGCUGGAUCUGAGAUCUACUCCAGACGGUUGACUUUUCAUCCCCGAACCCUAAUCUUUUUGCAAACUUUGGCAUACUAUAACUCUGCAUCCGUAGCUCCGAUUUGUGCGUGUAGCAUAUCAAAAUGUUCGUAUCGACGAGUACAUCAUUUCAUCUCAUUGCAUUAUUUUAAUUUGAACUCAUCUUGAUGCUCGAAAUGCUGUUGGAAGAGGGCUAUGUGGUGAAUUUGUCAGAUCUGUUUCAUCAAAUAGUUAUUUGUCAUUUUUUCCAUGAUUAAUGUGUGCAUGAUAUGAUCCUGAGCUCUACAGGUGUUUUGUUAUAUGCCAUGCCAUCUUUACAGAGGUGAUUACCAUGUAUUUUUGUGAUAUGUGUGGUGACUAGCAUAAGCUUGCAAAGUAGUGUAAUCGGUAAUGCUGAUUUCAGGGACUUAGAAUUUCACUAAGUCCUUGUCCUGAUUUUGUUGAUAUGCCAUAUGUUCAUGUUGUUUCCUAGUGAUCCGUGCCUCUUUUGAGGAUGAUCAGUAAGGAUGAUUUGUUAAAAUUGUGGUGCUCUAUCCAUCCAUGUCUUUGUUUGCAUUUAUGGAGCACCCUAGCUUGUGUCAAUCGAGCUCUACUUUUGCUAUAUCGGGAAUCCUGGAAGAUUGUUGACUUGUUAGUGAUUUUGCCAAAGAUGUUGCUAUUGAUCCGUGCAUGAUCUAUUGUUGUUCUUGCCAUGUAUAGCUUCUAUGCCAUGUAUUCUUGAUGGGUGUAUGCUUAGUUUGUCAUGCCAUGCUCUGUAGUGAGUGCAUCGAGCUUGUAAACAUGCCUCCUCGUUAACUGAUUUGCAUGCUCCAGUUUUUCACUAAGUCUGAGAUCUGUUUAUGUUUUUGCCAUGUUCACAUGCUUGCAAUUGUAUUUUCUGAUCCCUUUUGGCUCAAGGUCACCAAGGGACUUUUGUUAAGUGCUUUGAGUAGCUUCAUGCCAUGCCUUGCUUUGCCAUGUUAAGUUCCUGUAGCAUGUAGUUUUCAUGCUCUAAAGUGUGCUUCCUGAUGAUAAAUUCCAGACUUGUGUUAAUUUCACUGUCUGAAACCUGUUAUUGUUUGCACUUUUGCCAUGCUUGUUUGAACUUGUUAAUGGAUGAAUUAGCCAUAGCUCAGUGUUAAUCGUUUGUGAAGCUUCAUGAGUGGAUCCCGGCCAUGUAUUUUUUUGUCAUGUUUGAGUGUUGUUGCAUAUUUAUCUUGAUGCAUUUAGUUGGUCACUUGCUGUUUAUCGCAGACCGGUGCCAUAUUUGUUUUGCUUGCCAUUUCUAAACCGUGCAUCCGAUUCCGGUGAACUUUAUAUCGAUUUCAACCGAAAUCACCUCACCUUUCCAGUGGCACUCUUGGAUUUCCAUGUUGUGGCUAGGUUCAUUCAUUCGUUUGCAAAUCUUGCAUAUGCAUCGCAUCCCGCAUCCCGCAUAUCAUACCAGGUUUGCAUCAUGUUGUUUGAGCAUUGCACGUGGUUGAUUGUGUUAUGUUUGCUUGUUGUCUUGUUGUUCUUGUUUGGGUAGAGCCGGGAGACGAGUUCAUGAACGAGGAGCCCAUUGAGUUCGCUUACGAGGAUCAAGUCAACUCUGACAACUUUGCAGGCAAGAUGAUCAUACCCUCGAAAUCACUUCUAUCUUUGCUUGCUAGAUGCUCGCUCUUUUGCUAUGCCUAUGCUACGAUACCUACCACUUGAUUAUCAUGCCUCCCAAAUUGCCAUGUCAAACCUCUAACCCACCAUGUCCUAGCAAACCGUUGAUUGGCUAUGUUACCGCUUUGCUCAGCCCCUCUUAUAGCGUUGCUAGUUGCAGGUGAAGAUUGGAGAUCGUUCCUUGUUGGAACAUUGUUUAUUGUUGGGAUAUCAUCAUAUUAUCUUGUUAUCUUAAUGCACCUAUAUACUUGGUAAAGGGUGGAAGGCUCGGCCUUUUGCCUAGUGUUUUGUUCCACUCUUGCCGCCCUAGUUUCCGUCAUAUCGGUGUUAUGUUCCCGGAUUUUGUGUUCCUUACACGGUUGGGUUAUAAUGGGAACCCCUUGAUAGUUCGCCUUGAAUAAAACUCCUCCAGCAAUGCCCAACCUUGGUUUUAGCAUUUGCCACCUAGCCUCUUUUUCCCUUGAGUUUCCGGAGCCCAAGGGUCAUCUUUAUUUAACCCCCCCCCCCCCGGGGCCAGUGCUCCUUUGAGUGUUGGUCCAAACUAGAGCCCUGUGUAGCGCGCCGUCAGGGAAACUCAAGGUUUGGUUUUAGUUGUAUGGAGUGCUCAUCUCAGUGUGCCCUGAGAAUGAGAUAUGUGCAGCUCCUAUCGGGAUUUGUCGGCACAUUCCGGCAGUGUUGCUGGACUUGUUUUACCAUUGUCGAGGAUGUCUUGUAAAACCGGGAUGCCGAGUCUGAUCGGAAUGUCUCAGGAGAAGGAAUAUCCUUCGUUGACCGUGAGAGCUUGUGAUGGGCUAAGUUGGGACUCCCCUGGAGGGAUUUGAACUUUCAAAAGUCAUGCCCGCGGUUAUGGGCAGAUGAGAAUUUGUUAAUGUCUGGUCGUAGAUAACAUGAACCUUAACUUAAUUAAAAUGAAUCAACUGCGUGUCUAACCGUGAUGGUCUCUUCUCGGCGGAGUCCGGGAAGUGAACACGGUGUUGGAGUAAUGCUUGACGUAGGUUGUUCUAGGAUCACUUCUUGAUCAUAGUUGUUCGACCGUGUUUUUGCCUUCUGUUCUCGCUCUCUUUUGCGAACAGGUUAGCCACCAUAUAUGCUAGUCGCUUGCUGCAGCUCCACAUAUUACCUUGCCUUACCUAUAAGCUUAAAUAGUCUUGAUCGCGAGGGUGCGAGAUUGCUGAGUCCCCGUGACUCACAGUUUACUUCCACAACCAGAUGCAGGGACCGAUGAUACCGUUCCGGACGAUGCGCUUGAGCUCAAGUGGGAGUUCGAUGAAGACUCUCGCCGUUACUAUGUGUCUUUCCCAGAUGAUCAGUAGUGGUGCCCAGUUGGGGCGAUCGGGGACCAUGCCGCAUGUUGGGGUUGAUCUUUAUUUUAGUAUCGUAGUUGGACCAUGAGUGUAUUGGAUGAUUUUAAUUUUAUUCAUGUAUUUGUGUGACGUGGCGAGUGUAAGCCAACUAUGUAUCCUUUCCCCUUUUAUAUAUUUACAUGGGUUGUUGUGAAGAUUACCUUACUUGCGACAUUGCUUUCAAUGCGGUUAUGCCUCUAAGUCGUGCUUCGACACGUAGGAGAUAUAGCCGCAUCGAGGGCGUUACAAUUUGUUGCAAUCCAUGAUAAAUUCACCCCAUGCUUAUGAAAAAAUAAAGCUUUUACUAAACAUAUUGUUGAUGCUAUGAUGAAAGCUUUAGAAGAAAAGUUGGAAUUAGAAGUUUCAAUUCCUAGAAAAUUGCAUGAUGAAUGGGAACCCACUAUCAAAGUCAAUAUUAAAAAUUAUGAGUGUUUUGCUUUGUGUGACUUGGGUGCUUGUGUUUCUACAAUUCCGAAAUCUUUAUGUGAUGUGCUUGGUCUUACCGAUUUUGAAGAAUGCUCUUUAAAUUUGCACUUGGCGUAUUCUACUAUUAAAAAGCCUAUGGGAAGAAUUAAUGAUGUUCUUAUUCUUGCAAAUAGGAAUUAUGUGCCUAUAGAUUUUAUUAUUCUUGAUAUUGAUUGCAAUCCAUCUUGUCCAAUUAUUCUUGGUAGACCGUUUUUACGCACUAUCAGUGUCGUGAUUGAUAUGAAAGAAGGCAAUAUUUAGUUCCAACUUCCUUUGAGGAAGGGUAUGUAACAAUUCCCUAGAACAAGAAUUAGGCCACCAUAUGAAUCAAUCAUGAGGGCAUCUUAUGGAUCUCGAAACAAAGAUGACAACACUUAGAUCCUUGCUUUAUGCCUAGCUAAGGGUGUAAAACUAUAGCACUUGUUGGGAGGCACCUCAAUGAAUAAAAUUUAUUUUUGCUUUUUGCUUUCUAUUCUUGAGUGUUUGCACAAUUAUUAUACUGUUAUGAUUGUGUUUUUUGUGUUUUAAUUAGUGUUUGUGCCAAGUAAAGCCUUUAGGAUCUUCUUGGGUGAUAGUUGUUUGAUCUUGCUGAAAAAAACAGAAACUUUUGAGCUCGCGAAAAUAAUUUUCGUUUUUAAUCCGAAAGCGAUAAGAUACCAAUUCCUUCUACAGAAGUUUAAUAUACAAAUUUUCCAGGUCUUCCUAAUUUUUCAGAGUUUUUGGAGUUACAGAAGUAUUCGAAAUAUCCAGAUUGCUAUAGACUGUUCUGUUUUUGACAGAUUCUGUUUUCUUUGCGUUGUGUGCUUGUUUUGAUGGCUCUAUGGUUUUCUUUGAUGAGUUUUUGCCAUAGAAAAGUUGGAAUAUAGUAGAUAUAUUGAAAGAACAAAAUAUGAAUUGGUUUACUACAACACUUAUAGUAGUGAUUUGUUUUCUUAUACUAACGGAUCUCACGAAGGCUUUUGUUGAGUUUUGUGUGAUUGAAGUUUUCAAGUUUUGGGUUAUCUUACGAUGGAUGAAGGAAUAAGGAGUAAGGAGAGCCUCAGCUUGGGGAUGCCCCGACAUCCCAAGCUAUUAUCCAAAAGAGAGCAAACAACUAAGCUUGGGGAUGCCCCGAGUGGCAUCCCCUCAUUCUUCUAACAACCAUCAGUAUUUUACUCGAAGCUAUUAUAACAUCCCAAAUUUUCAAUUUGGAAUGUUAUACAUAGGUCAUUCAUGCAUAUCAUAUUUUAUCGCAUUUUGUUUCGCGAUCCUCGAAAUUCUAAGCAACUCAAGGACCCAUGGAGAGAGUUGGGAAUUUUGUUAUUUUCAUAUUUGUGUUUUCUCAAAUUUUGAAAAAAAGGAUCAUUUGGUUUUAAUUAUUUUUCCUCUCCGAAAAUAUUUCUAAUUAAAAUAUAUGAGAGGAGAUAGUAUGACUUCUCCAAAAUAAAGGAAAUAUUAGAGGAAAAAUAUUAAAAUAAAAUAGGAUAUUUUAUUUGGAUUUUAUUGCAAUUUUAUUUGAAUUAGGAAAAAUGCAUUUUUCAAAAUUGCAUUAUAGGUCUAAAUAAAUGUUCACUUUGUCCGCAAUAUUAUUAGGGGACCGUGAAAAUUUAUUUCAGGAUUUUUGGAGUCCGUUUAGUAUUUAUUUUACUUGUUUUUUUUUGCGUCAGGAUUUAUCUUUAAAAAAAUGAACCGACCUACCGGGCCGUGUCCGGCUAGGACUCCUGGCCCGGCUGGCUUUAUAAGCUGAGGCCCGCGACCCCCCGAGGCCCAAGUCGCGCCGCCGCCUGCCCUAACCCUAGCGCCGCCCGCCCGAUCCGCCGCUGUCCGCCUCGCCGCCUCGCCGCACCGCCGCCGGAGCCCCUCGACGUCGCGCCGCCCCGCCGGAAUCUCGUCGGAAGUAACCGCCGCCGCCGCCGGUUUUCGCGAGAAAACCAUUCAGUUUUUUAGAAACCCUAGUUCUGUUUUUUUAGUAUAGAUCGGUUUUGUUCGGUUUUUCUUCGGUUUAGUUAAAUAUCGGACGUUCGUCCAUACGUUCGUUUUAACGAACGUCGUUCAUCCGUUAGCCGCAGACAGCGAACGUCCGUUCGUUAGCCUGUGCGUCACUUUUCUUUUUCCAGGGGUUUUCCGCGAUUAUUUUCGAUCGCGAUUUCUGCCCUAAUCUUCGAUCUAGUAUAUCUUUUCGCUCGUUUAUCCAAAUCGGGUGAAACAAGCGCCUAGAUCUUCGUCUCGAAGCCCUGUUUCUGUUUAACCAACUUGAACAAGAUUUUGAUACUGUAAAAUUUGACCUUAGUCCAGAUUAGUAAUCGGAUCUUGUUUCUUUCGUAGUUUGAGUUUCGUUGAUUUGUUUGAUUUGAUUCUUCUUGCAAACCGGAGUUCUUCAGUUGAACUUUCUGGUUAGAUCUUCUUAUUUGAGUUUUACCCAUGCAUCUUUGCUUGAUUGCUUAUGUAUGCUAUUGUUUGUUUGCAAUAGAAUACCCGGAGUGCGAAGCGUGCUACUACGAAUCUCUAGGUUUUGCGGAUCGUCAGCAAGGCAAGUAACACAUUGAUCAUACUCUUUCAUACCCAGUUUUUAUGCAUUAGUUUCAACCCUCACACAUUGCAUGAGUAGGAUCUCUUAACAUGUGGGUUUGGGAAGUAGAUGAUGAGGUAGAACCUAUUACCUGUUUAUUAUCAAACCCUUGGGAGUUACUUCUACGUUAUGCUUAUAUUCCUAUGUUAUGCUCGUAGACGUGGUUUGUGUUUGAGAGUAUCCAAUGACAGAUGUGAGAUUGUUAAUUAAUGGUUCAACUUAAGGUGGCAACUUUAAUACACAUCUGGGUGGAUUGCUUGUGGGCACCUGGGGUUAUACCAGUGUUGUCCUAGGAGGUCCCGGGGUUAUACCAUGUGAUCCUACUAUGGUCCGCCACCCAGUCUCAAAGGGAUCAUAAGAUUAUUCAUGCUUGAAACUUCCGUGUGCAGCCACAAGCUAUUAUGGGCUCUAGCAUAGUGGAGUAAGUUGCAUGACCUCUUCCAGUGGUAGACUAGCAGAUGUAGGGGAUGUAGGUUGGUACGGUCUACCCGGGGUUAGAGAUAAUGCUUCUGAAAAACUGUGUCUCGGUCAUCCGUUUCUCAAACACCAUGUAGUGCGAGAAAUCCAACGGAGGAGAUCGAGUCUUGUGGGGAAAAGUGCGCAAACCUUUGCAGAGUGUACAAACUAAUCAUGGUUAGCCGUGUCCCCGAUUAUGGACAUCUUGAGUAUCUGGUUUUUUAAUUAUCCUAUGGAUCUCAUCACUCUAAUCUAACUUGUUGGGUUGAUAAAUUACUUUUAAUUGGGAUUGAGAUGGGGGUACCAUUCUCAAUGUUAUUUCAACUACCAUGAUAGUUAAAUAAAAUAUAUUCCUUUGUUGUAGGGAAAAAUGGCUUUUCGCAAAAACUUUGUAACCAUAGAGCCUCCACCAGCCAUAUAUGCAUGUAGUGAUAGCAUUUAUUUGUUCAUUGCUCUAAUGUGUUACAUUGCCAGCAUAUUCCAUGUGCUGACCCAUUUUCGGGCUGCAACGUAUUAUGUUGCAGACUUUUCAGACGACGAGUAAGAUGCCAUAGGUCGUUUGUUGUGCACUCAGCUAUGUCGUUGGAGUUGAUGGACUCACUUUAUCUUCCAAGCCUUCCGCUGUUAUCUUAUUUAGAUGGCCUUAAGCCAUAUUUAUUGUAAUAAGUUCUCUUUUGAGACAUUCAAUGUAAUAAGUGUGUGAUUGCCACUCUGUUAUAAAUCCUUCGAGUACUGUGUGUGUCAGCAUUACCGAUCCAGGGAUGACACUCAAGCACAAAGACUUGACCGUUUGAGGUCAGGUCGCUACAGCUAUAUUUUUAUUCAUCACAUACUAUGUGUUUUUCUUGGAGCGUCUUGUAUGAUAAGAGUCUUUUCUUGCUUUAUUUUGUGUUUUAAGUCUUGAUUCCUUGCUGGACACACCUAUUUGAGAGAGCCAAAAUUAUGUCAUGACUUGUUAGAACUGCUCUCUAUGCUUCACUUAAAUUUUUAUGAGCUAUGGACUUGCUCUAUUGCUUCACUUAUAUCUUUUUGAGCACGGUGUGCUUUAGUAUUUUCAAGAAAUUCUCUCUUGCUUCACUUAAAUUAAUUUGAGAAAAAAAUAUGCUCGUGAUCUUCACUUAUAUUUGUUUGAUCUUAUCAAAAGCAACACAUGAAAAUUAGUUCCAAAGUGAUAGAUAUCCAAGAAGGAUAUAAUAAAAACUUUUAUGAAGAUCAUUGGACAAAAUAAGCUUGAUUCUUUGUAAUAGGUUUGUGAUUCCCUAUGCAAGCACGAAAGUCAAUAAUUAUGCUAUGAAAUCCUACUUGUGGUGCAUUGUUCGGUGUUAAUUAUGCUUAAUGCUCGCUUAUGAGAUUAUCUGUUUCAUGGUUGGUCGCUUCUCAAUCUUUUCCUAGCCUUCAUUUUGCACUAAGUAUGAUCACUACUUCUUCAUCCAAAAACCUUUAAACCAGUUUUGCCACAUGAGUCCACUUAUCUACCUAUAUGUGGUAUUCUUUUGCCGUUCUAAGCAAAUUUGUAUGUGCCAUCUCUAAUUUUCAAAAUAAACUUCUCUUUUGUGUGUUUGUACCGCUCAUGGAGCGGUGAGGGGUGGCUAAAGUUUUCCAUGCUAGAUGUGUUAUUCUCAUGGUGAGUGUUUAUUCACUUGUCAUUGCACGAGAGUAAGGCAAAGGUAUUAGGGAUGCCCAGUCCCGAAAUGAAAAAUGAAUUUACUUUAUGUUGUCAACUAAUAAAUUCCUUGGAAAGUGUUGGUAUGGAAGGCACCCUUGGAUACAAUUAUCCAUGGAACGUGAAAGUAUGGUGGAAAAAGGAAUGAACUUUCUUUUCUGUUUAGGAACCGCCUAUGAUAUAUCUAGCAUAGAAAGUGUUGGGAACUCUAAGUCAUUUUCAUUGGUGGGGAAGACACACCUCCCAAAAUGUUUUUAUCUCUAAGUCUUUCGCUUUGAGCUCUGGCACCUCUACAAAUCCCUACUUUCCUCUGCGAAGGGCCUUUCUUUUACUUUAUGCAAUUUUUAUUUUGAAUUUGAGUCUCCAUCUUCUCUUAUAAAGCACCAACUAGGAGGCACUAUGAUCGUACUUGAGCAUUGGUGUAGUUAAUAUGCGAGUGUGUUUCAUGAAUGGAUCAAUGAUUGAGCAUGAUGGGCUAGGGAUAGCUUAUUUUAGCGUUGAUAUUUUGAAAGACAUGAUUUCUUGUUGAUAUGAUUGAGUAUUUAAGUUAUCAUGUCAAAACUAGACUAUUGCUUUGAACAAUAUAAAAGUCCAAAUGUCCAUGCCAUAAAGAAAAGAAAUAUGACAUGACAUGUUAAAUUCCAUUUUUAUCACUUACCUACUCGAGGACGAGCCGGAGUUAAGCUUGGGGAUGCUGAUACAUCUCCAACGUAUCUAUAAUUUUUGAUUGUUCCAUGAUGUUAUAUUAUCAAUCUUGGAUAUUUUAUAAUCAUUUUAUAGUCAUUUUAUAUCAUUUUUCGUACUAACCUAUUGACAUAGUGCCAAGUGCCAGUUGUUGUUUUCUGAUGUUUUUUACAUCGCAGGAAAUCAAUACCAAACGGAGUCCAAAUGCAACAAAACUUUACGGAGAUCUUUUAUGGACCAAAAUACACCCAAUGGGCCAAGGCAGUGCCUAGAGGAUGCUCUGAGGGGAGCACAGCCUACUAGGGCGGGCCAGGAGGCCCAGGCGCGCCCUGAUGGGUUAUGCCCACCUCGGGUGCCCCCCGGACCGCCUCUUUGCUCCAUAAAUACCCCAAAAUUCCAGAAACCCUUGGGGAGUCGACGAAAAUCAAUUCCAGUCACCGUAGAGUCCAGAACCACCAGAUCCAAUCUAGACACCAUGACGGAGGGGUUCACCACUUCCAUUGGUGCCUCUCUGAUGAUGUGUGAGUAGUUCUUUAUAGACCUUCGGGUCCGUAGUUAGUAGCUAGAUGGCUUCCUCUCUCUCGUUUGAUUCUCAAUACAAUGGUCUCUUGGAGAUCCAUAUGAUGUAACACUUUUUGCGGUGUGUUUGUUGGGAUCGAAUGAACUUUGAUCUCCUAUAUGCAUGAUUGCUUAUAGCCUCGUAUUUAUUCUCCAAUAUUUGGGUUUUGUUUGGCCAACUUGAUCUAUUUAUCUUGCAAUGGGAAGAGGUGAUUUGUAGUGGAUUCGAUCUUACGGUGCUUGAUCCCAGUUUCAGAAGGGGAACCAACACGUAUGUAUCGUUGCUACUAAGUUUAAAACGAUGCGGUCUAUCUCUACAUAGAUAGAUCUUGUCUACAUAAUGUCAUUGUUCUUAUUGCAUUACUCUAUUUCUCCAUGAACUUAAUACACUAGAUGCAUGCUGGAUAGCGGUCGAUGUGUGGAGUAAUAGUAGUAGAUGUAGGCAGGAGUCGGUCUACUAAUCUUGGACGUGAUGCCUAUGUAAUGAUCAUUGCCUGGAUAUUGUCAUGAUUAUUUGAAGCUCUAUCAAUUGCCCAACAGUAAUUUGUUUACCCGUCGUUUGCUAUUUUUCUCGAGAGAAGCCACUAGUGAAACCUACGGCCCCCGGGUCUCUUUCUCAUAUUAUUUGCCUUUGCAAUCUACUUUUCCUUUGCUUUUAUUUUCAGAUCUAUUAAACCAAAAAUACAAAAAUACCUUGCUGCGUUUUAUUCUUAUUUAUUAUUUGGCGUUCGAUCUAUCAAUCUACUACAAUUUUAUUCACGUCCAUUUGCCUAUCUUGGGGCGCCGCUACCCGAAAGGGAUUGGCAACCCCUUUUACACGUCGGGUUGCGAGUAUUUGUUAUUUGUGUGCAGGUAUUGUUUAUGUUGUGUUGCUUGGUUCUCCUACUGGUUCGAUAACCUUGGUUUCAUCACUAAGGGAAAUACCUACCGCCGAUGUGCUGCAUCAUCCCUUCCUCUUUAGGGAAAUACCGACGUAGCUUCAAGACACCAUCACUUGUGUGCUAUAAAACGUCACAACGUAACUGGGUGAUUAUAAAGAUGCUCUACAGGUAUCUCCAAAGGUGUUUGUUGGGUCGGCAUAGAUCGAGAUUAGGAUUUGUCACUCCGGGUAUCGGAGAGGUAUCUCUGGCCCUCUCAGUAAUGCACAUCAUAAGAAGCCUUGCAAGCAAAGUGACUAAUGUGUUAGUUACAGGAUGAUGUAUUAUGGAGCGAGUUAAGAGACUUGCCGGUAACGAGAUUGAACUAGGUAUGUAGAUACCGAUGAUCGAAUCUCGGGAAAGUAACAUACCGAUGACAAAGGGAAUAAUGAAUUUUAUCAUAAUGGUUUGACCGAUAAAGAUCUUCGUAGAAUAUGUAGGAGCCAAUAUGAGCAUCCAGGUUCCGCUAUUGGUUAUUAACCGGAGAGGUGUCUCGGUCAUGUCUACAUAGUUCUCGAACCCGUAGGGUCUGCACACUUAAGGUUCGUUGACGAUUUAGUAUUAUAUGAGUUAUGUGAUUUGGUGACCGAAUGUCGUUUGGAGUCCCGGAUGAGAUCACGGACAUGACAAGGAUUCUCUAAAUGGUCGAGAGGUAAAUAUUGAUAUAUAGGACGAUGGUAUUCGGACACCAGAAGUGUUCCAGAUAGUAUCAGGUAUUUAUCAGAGUACUGGGGGGUUACCGGAACCCCCGAGGGAAGAUAUGGAACAUAUGGACCAUAGGAGGGGAGCACGCCAGCCCACAAGGGUGCCCCCCCCAAGGAAGGAGGCCGAGUGGGGAAAGGAAAAAGAGGGGGUUCGCCCCCCCCCCCCUUUCCUUCCCCCUUCCUCUUCCCUUUUCCCUCUCCGGAAAUAUGGAAAAGGGGGCCGAAUUGGGAUAUGACCCCAAGAGGGGGCGCCUAGAACACACACCAACAAUUUUUAGCCGUGUGCGGCGCCCCCUCCAUAGUUUACGCAUCCGUUCAUAUCUUCGUAGUGCUUAGGCGAAGAUCUGCAUGGAUCACUUCACCAUCACCGUCACCACGUAGUCGUGCUGACGGAACUCAUCUUCUUUGUCGACACCUUUGCUGGAUCAAGAGGAUGAGGGACGUCAUCGAGCUAAACAUGUGCAGAACUCGGAGGUGUCAUACGUUCGGUGCUUGAUUGGUCGGAUCUAGAAGAAGUUCAACUACAUCAACCGCGUUGUCAAACGCUUCCGCUCUCGGUCUAUGAGGGUACGUGGACACACUCUCCCCCUAUCAUUGAUAUGAAUCUCCUAGAAAGAUCUUGCGCGAGCGUAGGAUUUUUUUUGAAAUUUCAUGCUACGUUUGCCGACAAUACCUUGGUUCUUAACUAAGGGAAAUACUUAUCUCUACUUUGUUGCAUCACCCUUUCCUCUUCAAGGGAAAAACCAACGCAAGCUCAAGAAGUAGCAGGAAGAAUUUUUGGCGCCGUUGCCUAGGAGAUCUACAUCAAGCCUACCAAGUACCCAUCAUGAACUCUCAUCUCUUGCAUUACAUUAUUCGCCAUUUGCUUCUCGUUUUCCUCUCCCCCACUUCUAAAACGUUAUCAGAAAAAUACAAAAAAAUUGCCUUUUUAUUCGCCCUUCUUUCGUUCAUCUUUUCAUUUGCAUGUGUGCUAGAUCAGUUUGUUGCCACUAUGUCUAAAUCUGGGGAGGUUAUCGUUGAAAAUUUUGAAAAUUCUGCUGGCAUGAACCUUGAGGAAAAAAUUUAAUGUUUGUUCUUUAGAUCAUGAAACUGAAACUCCUCCUAAUUAUAAAGCAAAAACUUUUCAUGUGGGUGAUAGUAAUAUUAUUGGGAAGAGUGUUAUUCAAGAAUUCUUUGAUUGUACGGGAACAAUGCCUAUUAAUAAGAGUCAUAUUCUUCUUGAUACAAAUUGUUAUGCGGAUGCGAUUGUCAUGCUCAUUGACAAAUUAGAGAGAAAAUUUGUGCACAUCCAUCCCGCUUUGCAAAAGGUGUUUUAUGAACUCCCCAAUAUUAAUCAUCCUAAAGCCAAAAAGAUUGCCACUAUUAUCCUUAUGCGGGAAUUUGAUUUUAUAAUACAAGAGGCUAGGGAAAUUUUUGCUUUCUAUAAUAAAGAUAUUGAACAUUCUACUAUUGAAGAAAUCCUCCAUGAUAAAGAAACUUUGUGUAGCUUGGAAUCUCGAGAUUAUCAAUCUUACAAUGACAAUCUUAGGAGGAGAGCUCCCUACUCAGAUAUUACCUAGACUAUCUACCUUGAAACUUAUGAUAAAUUUGAUUGGAUAACUAGGGGUAUUUAUGUAGGAUCUAAUGAUGAUUGGCUAGAAGAGAAGAUUAGGGAACCCUUUAAAAAUGAGAUACGUGUUUUAUAUGAUGAUAUUUAUGGAGAUGAUCCGGACUAUGGGUUUAUGAAUGUCAAGGUUACUAAUCAAAGUCCUUUUCAUUAUUUAAGUUCACCGACUAGGAGGGAAAAAAUAAAUAAAGUAUUUGUUAAAAAGGGUUUUUGAAGAUUUGAUUAAGAAAGAGUUGCAUGACAAUACCUAGAUCUCUGUUUUAUGCCUAGCUAGGGGCGUUAAACAAUAACCCUUGUCAGGAGGCAACCCAAUUUUAUUGUUGUUCUUGCUUUUUUUGUUCUUGUUUUUUAAUAAAUUUAUCAUCUAGCCUCUGGUUAGAUGUGCUUUCAUGUUUUAAUUUAGUGUUUGUGCCAAGUAAGACCUUUCGGAUAGUUUGGAACAUUGUUGAUUUGAUCUUGCUGAAAAACAUAAAUGUUUAUGCCUAGUAAAAUAAUUUUCAUUAAUCACAUAAGCAUGAUAAAAAUCCUAUUUUUUGCAAAAGAUUGAUAUACAAAUUGCCUAGGUUGUCCAAAUGUUUUCAGAAUUUUUGGAGUUACAGAAGUAUUUGAAGUUUGAAGAUUGCUACAGACUGUUAUGUUUUUGACAUAUUCUGUUUUCUAUGUGUUGUUUGCUUAUUUUGAUGAAUCUAUGGGUAGUAUUGGGGGGUAUGAACCAUGGAGAAGUUGGAAUACAGUAGAUAUUACACCAAUAUAAAUAAGGAAUGAGUUCACAAUAGUACCAAAAAGUGGUGAUUUAUUUUCUUAUACUAAUGGUUCUCAUGAGUUUUCUGUUACUUUUGUGUCGUGGAGUUUUUAAGUUUUGGCUAAAGAUUUGAUGGACUAUGGAAUAAGGAGUGGCAAUAGCCUAAGAUUAGGGAUUCCCAAGGCACCCCAAGGUAAUACUUAAGGACAACCAAGCAUCUAAAGUUGGGGAUGCCCCGGAUGGCAUCCCCUCUUUCGUCUUCCUCUAUCGGUAAAUUUACUUGAGGUUGUAUUUUAUUCACCACAUGGUAUGUGUUUUGCUUGGAGCGUCUUGUAUGAUAUGGGUCUUUGCUUUUUAGUUUGCCAUAAUCAUCCUUGUUGUACACACCUUUUUAGAGGGACACGCAUGAAUCGUGAAUUUAUUAGAAUACUCUAUGUGCUUCACUUAUAUUUUUUGAUCUAGGCAAUUUGCUCUAGUGCUUCACUUAUAUCUUUUUAGAGCACGGCGGUGACUUUAUUUUACAGAAAUUGUUGAGCUCUCAUGCUUCACUUAUAUUAUUUUGAGAGUCUCUCUAAACAGCAUGGUAAUUUUCUUUGGUCAUGAAUUUAGUCCUAAUAUGAUGGGCAUCCAAGAGGGAUAUAAUAAAAACUUUUAUAUAAAGAGCAUUGAAUACUAUGAGAAGCUUGAUUCCUUAUGAUUGUUUUGAGAUAUAAAGAUGGUGAUAUUAGAGUCAUGCUACUGAGUAAUUGUUGAUUGGUAGAAAUACUUGUGUUAAAGUUUGUGAUUCCCUUAGCAUGCACGUAUGGUGAGCCGUUAUGUGAUGAAGUUGGAGCAUGCUUUGUAUAUUGAUUGUCUUCCUUAUGAGUGGCGGUCGGGGACGAGCAAACCAAUCUACCCCCCUAGGAGCAUGCAUGUGAGUUCUUUAUAAUUUUUUGUCUUACUUUGUUUCAAUAGCUAAUAAUUUUUUGCAAUAAGUAUGUGAGUUCUUUAUAACUAAUGUUGAGUCCAUGGAUUAUACGCACUCUCACCCUUCCACCAUUGACCGUGCAACUUUCGUCGGUGCAUUAAACCCACCAUUUACCCUUCCUCAAAACAGCCACCAUACCUACCUAUUAUGGCAUUUCCAUAGCCAUUCCGAGAUAUAUUGCCAUGCAACUUCCACCGUCCCGUUUAUUAUGACAUGCACCAUCAUUGUCAUAUUGCUUUACAUGAUCGUAAGAUAGCUAGCAUGAUGUUUUCAUGGCUUGUCCAUUUUUUGAUGUCAUUUGCUACGCUAGAUCAUUGCACAUCCCGGUACACCGCCGGAGGCAUUCAUAUAGAGCCAUAUUUUGUUCUAAGUGUCGAGUUGUAAUUCUUGAGUUGUAAGUAAAUAAAAGUGUGAUGAUCAUCAUUAUUAGAGCAUUGUCCCAUGUGAGGAAAGGAUGAUGGAAGCUAUGAUUACCUCACAAAUUGGGAUGAGUCUCCAUACUUUACAAAAAUAAAAGAGGCCAAAGAAGCCCACCAAAAAAAUUAUAUAAAAGAGAGAAGGGGCAAUGCUACUAUCCUUUUUCCACACUUGUGCUUCAAAGUAGCACCAUGAUCUUCAUUAUAGAGAGUCUCCUAUGUUGUCACUUUCAUAUACUAGUGGGAAUUUUCAUUAUAGAACUUGGCUUGUAUAUUCCAACGAUGGGCUUCCUCAGAUUGCCCUAGGUCUUCGUGAGAAAGUGAGUUGGAUGCACACCCACUUAGUUUCUUUUUGAGCUUUCAUAAACUUAUAGCUCUAGUGCAUCCGUUGCAUGGCAAUCCCUACUCACUCGCAUUGAUAUCUAUUGAUGGGUAUCUCCAUAGCCCGUUAAUAUGCCUAGUUGAUGUGAGACUAUCUCUUUAUUUUUGUCUUCUCCACAACCACCAUAUUCUAUUCCACCUAUAGUGCUAUAUCCAUGGCUCACACUCAUGUAUUUCAUGAAAGUUGAAAAAGUUUGAGAACAUCAAAAGUAUGAAACAAUUGCUUGGCUCAUCAUCGGGGUUGUGCAUGAUUUAAUACUUUGUGUGAUGAAGAUGAAGCAUACCCAGACUAUAUGAUUUUGUAGGGAUAACUUUCUUUUGCCGUGUUAUUUUGAGAAGACAUGAUUGCUUUAUUAGUAUGCUUGAAGUAUUAUUGUUUUUAUGUCAAUAUUAAACUUUUGUUUCAAAUCUUAUGAAUCUGAAUAUUCAUGCCACAAUAAAAAAAUUACAUGGGUAAACAUGUUAGGUAGUUUUCCACAUCAAAAAUUCUAUUUUUAUCAUUUAUCUACUCGAGGACGAGCAGGAAUUAUGCUUGGGGUUGCUUGGUACGUCUCCAAGUAUCUAUAAUUUUUUAUUGUUACAUGCUAUUAUAUUAUAUGUUUUGGAUGUUUUAUAUGCAUUAAUAUGCUAUUUUAUAUUAUUUUUGGGACUUACUUAUCCGCCAUCGUCACCUUCUGUACCCGUGAGAUCCCAUCUAGGGACCUUUUCCGGCACCCUGGAGGAGGGGGAUUCGACCACAGAGGGCGUCUACAUCAACUCUAUUGCCCUUCCGAUGAAGCAUGAGUAGUUUACCACAGAUCUACGGGUCCAUAGCUAGUAGCUAGAUGGCUUCUUCUCUCUCUUUGAUCCUCAAUACCAUGUUCUCCUCGAUGUUCUUGGAGAUCUAUAUGAUGUAAUCUUCUUUUGCGGUGUGUUUAUCGAGAUGCGAUGAAUUGUGGAUUUAUGAUCAAUCUAUCUAUGAAUAUUAUUUGAAUUUUCUCUAAAUUAUUAUAUGCAUGAUUUGAUAUAUUUGUAUUUCUCUUCGAAUUAUCGGUUUGGUUUGGCCAACUAGAUUGGUUUUUCUUGCAAUGGGAGUGGUGCUUUGUUUUGGGUUCAAUCUUACGGUGUCCUCACCCAGUGACAAAGUAGGGGUAGCCAGGCACGUGUUUGUAUUGUUGCCAUCAAGGGUAAAAAGAUGGGGGUUUCAUCAUAUUGCUUGAGUUUAUCCCUCUACAUUAUGUCAUCUUACUUAAGGCGUUACUCCAUUCUUAUGAAUCUAAUACUCUAGAUGCAUGCUGGAUAGUGGUCGAUGUGUGGAGUAAUAGUAGUAGAUGCAGGCAGGAGUCGGUCUACUUGACACGGACGUGAUGCCUAUAUGCAUAAUCAUUGCAUUGGAUAUCGUCAUAACUUUACGCUUUUCCAUCAAUUGCUUGACAGUAAUUUUUUCACCCAUCAUAUUAUUUGCCAACAACAACAACAACAACAACAACAACAACAACAACAACAACAACAACAACAACAACAACAACAACAACAACAACAACAACAACAACACCAGCACCAGCAACAGCAACACCAGCAACAGCAACAACAGCNNNNNNNNNNNNNNNNNNNNNNNNNNNNNNNNNNNNNNNNNNNNNNNNNNNNNNNNNNNNNNNNNNNNNNNNNNNNNNNNNNNNNNNNNNNNNNNNNNNNNNNNNNNNNNNNNNNNNNNNNNNNNNNNNNNNNNNNNNNNNNNNNNNNNNNNNNNNNNNNNNNNNNNNNNNNNNNNNNNNNNNNNNNNNNNNNNNNNNNNNNNNNNNNNNNNNNNNNNNNNNNNNNNNNNNNNNNNNNNNNNNNNNNNNNNNNNNNNNNNNNNNNNNNNNNNNNNNNNNNNNNNNNNNNNNNNNNNNNNNNNNNNNNNNNNNNNNNNNNNNNNNNNNNNNNNNNNNNNNNNNNNNNNNNNNNNNNNNNNNNNNNNNNNNNNNNNNNNNNNNNNNNNNNNNNNNNNNNNNNNNNNNNNNNNNNNNNNNNNNNNNNNNNNNNNNNNNNNNNNNNNNNNNNNNNNNNNNNNNNNNNNNNNNNNNNNNNNNNNNNNNNNNNNNNNNNNNNNNNNNNNNNNNNNNNNNNNNNNNNNNNNNNNNNNNNNNNNNNNNNNNNNNNNNNNNNNNNNNNNNNNNNNNNNNNNNNNNNNNNNNNNNNNNNNNNNNNNNNNNNNNNNNNNNNNNNNNNNNNNNNNNNNNNNNNNNNNNNNNNNNNNNNNNNNNNNNNNNNNNNNNNNNNNNNNNNNNNNNNNNNNNNNNNNNNNNNNNNNNNNNNNNNNNNNNNNNNNNNCAGCAACAACAACAACAACAACAACACCAACAACAACAACAACAACAACAACAACAACAACAACAACAACAACAACAACAACAACAACAACAACAACAACAACAACAACAACAACAACAACAACAACAACAACAACAACAACAACAACAACAACAACAACAACAACAACAACAACAACAACAACAACAACAACAACAACAACAACAACAACAACAACAAUAACAACAACAAGG